Molecule: long non-coding RNA, 54576 nt
Filed under: Triticum aestivum (bread wheat)
Lineage: Eukaryota; Viridiplantae; Streptophyta; Magnoliopsida; Poales; Poaceae
Description: long non-coding RNA (TAES_LNC015386)
Rfam family: MIR1120/MIR1122 microRNA precursor family (bases 1803-1889)
Source: RNAcentral
AGAAGGAGAAGGCCCCGGCGGCGUCGUCCAAGCCGGCCAAGUCCGGCGGCGGCAAGCAGAAGAAGAAGAAGUGGAGCAAGGGCAAGCAAAAGGAGAAGGUGAACAACGCGGUGCUGUUCGACCAGGCCACCUACGACAAGCUGCUCACCGAGGUGCCCAAGUACAAGCAGAUCACGCCCUCCGUCCUCUCCGAGCGCCUCAGGGUAACGCCCGCUCGCCAUCCUCCCUCCUUCUUGCUUGCUUUCUUCCCGUGAGAAUUGAGAUCCCGGGAUGGUAUGAUAUGUAUGUGUGUGAUGCGCCAUGGCUCCUGGUGAAGUUCUUCCAUGUGAAUCGUGAUUAUCUGUUUUGGGGUCAGUCAGUAGUACUCUGAACAAGGGCAUGAACAUACUACUAUAUGAUUAUGUUAUGAAUUGAUUGCGUGUCCUAUUGGAUGCCGGUUUUGGCUUCUCCAUCUGUGCCGAUAGUUUUUGUGCAGUGUGAUGCUCAGUUUAGUGCAUCCUCAGAUUUUGCUUGGUGUGCCAAUUGCAUAUUGUCAUAGAAAUUGCACAAUCUGAUUUUUACAUGUGCAGUAUACCCAUGUUUACCGUUUAUUCAUAGAUUUAAUGGUUGAUUCAUGGAGGUAAUGUGGUUGGUUGAUGCUGUUGAAUGCUUCAGUAACUUGUCUCCACAUUUUGCUAUCCACGGCUGUGCCUACAUGCCUUAUUAUUAGAUUGCAAGUUUGCAACUGUAGUAGUAUCAUGCAACGGAACAUAUGUUGUCGGUCUAUGAAUUGUUAACAUGGAUUACAACUAUUGAUGUGUGCACGGCAAGUGUUUGGCAGUUCCCCGUUUCAUGUAUGUAUGCGCUUCCUAUUUGUCAUCUCACUCAAUUUAAUAAACUGAACUCUUCAGGCAUGUACAUUUAUGCACACUACAAACUUGAUGAUCUCACCCUGCCUGUGGUUAUAUACCUGCAGAUCAAUGGGUCUCUGGCUCGCAGGGCUAUCAAGGACCUGAUGGAGAGGGGACUCAUCAGGAUGGUGUCAAUCCACUCAAGCCAGCAGAUCUUCACCAGGGCGACAAACACCUGAUUUAUCAUUAUCAUGUGUUCCAUGUCUGUUUUUAGUCCAGUAGACUGAGGUGUUGCUGUUAUAUUCAAGUUCACUAUGUCCAGGGGGGCACACUGUGCCACCAGUAAUGUUGAAUUGCUUUUGAGUUUUGGUACACUUUGAGAUCGUUUUGUCAGCGCAAUGAAAUCUACCUUAUAUAUUGCCCUAUUUGCUGCUGUCCAUGCUCUACGGUUGUUCCUGGGUGCAAGUAUUUUGGUGUGGUAAUGGUAUAUGGUUCCAAGGGUAUAGAGUUUAUCAUGUUUGUGUUGAAUGAUGCUGUGAGGCUAAUCUUGAGAUAGCGCUGUAUGAUGUUGAGGCGGAGAUAACCUGUAGUUUUUAUACACCUGCAGAAGUGGGUUGUUCUUGAUAACUGGCUGUCGCACAUAACACCAGAACACUACUAUACGCCCAAUCUUGGCUAGGCUUUGUGCUAAAUCAUUACGCUGCGUUUGGAUGUCUGUAUUGGAUUUGGUAUUGGGCAUGCAGCUUUCUAUGCUCACUCCAGUGGGGUUCAUUGGAGUAGUGCCAGCAAGAAAGUGCUCAAAGGUAUCAUAGUUCAUAGAUAUUAACAGGAUCCUUCUUGCAUCAAUUGGGUUGAAAAUUGAUGACCCUUGUAGCAUCAAUUGGAUUGAGAACAAGCGCUGUUCUGUUUAGCUCAACAGGAACGAGCCCUGGUCUGUAUCUCUGUUCUUCAGGUUCAGUUGUUCUUUCCUUAGUACUCCCUCGGUAAACUAAUAUAAGAGUGUUUAGAUCACUAUUUUAGUAAUCUAAACGCUCUUAUAUUAGUUUACAGAGGGAGUACUAUGUUUCCGUCAAAGUCAGCCUACUUAUGUUUCGCCUCAAUGUAACACUUCCAAGUGUGUUUGACAUAUAGUUAAUGGAUAAUUGCAACUGUGUGAUUUACAACCGGAAUGUCAUAGGGCUAAACAAUCCAGGGCGCCACAAGGUUGAACCUGAACCUAUCUAUUGUCUUAUCAAGUUUGGAACUAUUGUGUUGUUAAAUUUGGAACUGUCAUGUUUACCUUGAAGGUAAUUUAUGCGCAUGUGGUUAUGGCUAGAAGCAGUCGACGUGUAUAUCCAUGAAAUCUUCGAAUAGUAGCACACUCUAGCGCACUAAAUAUUGUGUAAGCUUUUGAUGUCUUUACCUAACAGCUUACCAUGUUUUGUUUUGUUUUUCAAAUUAGAUUAUAUUGAAAUGGGAAUCCACCGUGAUCCACGCAGCUCAUCUUUCCCUAUAUAUAUACUAAUAAAGCAGCGAUCGUGUCCCGGCGGAACCGGAUCCGACGAGGAUGGACGCCGGUGACGUGGGCGAGGAGGAGGGCUCCGGCGGCGGAGAACCUCCAGGCGGCGGCUGCUUGCAGUUCGGCGUCGGCCUCCUGUAGGUAACAGAGAAAGAGUGAGUUGGUGUGAGAGAGAGAGACAAGAAGAAGAGCCAGGGGAGGAAGGAGAAAGGGAGAAGGAAGAGAGGCAGGGCGGCCUGGAGGAGCUGUUGUUGCUGCGCAGGGACGAGGAGGAGGCACACGGGUCGGAGACGACGCGCGGGCAGGGGAGCUCCUACAUGGACGCCGUCGAGCUCGCGGCAAGGAGCAAUGACAAGCAGCAGCAGCGGUUGCAAGCAGAGGCAGCGGGCAGCAGCAGCAGAGGGCAGAAGCGGGAGGCAGCAGCGGCAACGGGCAGCAGAAGCAGAGGGCUGCUGCCACAACAGAGGUAUGUAUCCCCUUGAAAGCAGCAAGCAUCACUGCAUCAGCCUUCUGUUCUUUGUGUUCUCUGUAUAGAUGUGUAGUACUCCCUGAUCAACAGAGGGAGCAGUAACCAAGAAGCAGCAGGCUGCUGCUCUCCUCCCUGAUCCCCUGUAUAUGAAAUAGCAGUAGCGCAUGCGUGAAUGAAGCAAUCAAUUUCUGAAUUACAGACAGCAUACAGAUUUUCUGAAUCCAAACAAAAUGAAGCAUAUACCGUAGGUUGUUCUAUUGUUGAUCCAACCACAUGCUCUGUUUCUGCAUGCCAUGGAACCUUUAUUUUCAAAUCCCCUUUUUCUGCACGACAAUUGAAAAGAAUGCAGGAGUCGGAGAAUGAACAAAAUUGCUUUGAACUUCACAGCAGCAGACUAAAUUCCUAAAGGCAAAAAAAUUUUAGUACUACAGGAUAUACCUUCAGAGUUUAUGACAGUUCUAAUAAAUAUAUGAUGUUGAUUGGUUAGCUGAGUUAGAAGUAGAGCUAUUCAAAUAUAUUUACUCUGACAAGUGCAAAAAAUCCUUAUACUCCUAGCUAUAUGUUUAUCCUAUAUCUACUUCUCACAUUAUACAUAUGCUCCACUACAAAGGGGUCUAAAUAAUAACAUGAUUUUUUUCAGUUAAAGUUCCAAGCAACUUUCCUGUGUGAAUCUGAGAAUCUCACUAAAACCUGUGUUUCAUUGUGUAUAUUCAGCCUAUCGAUUCGAGUUUCAGACUGAUCAUAAACAUACCUCAGUUUAAGAUGUGAUGCUGAUUUGAUUUGUGUGCUGCACCAUUGUCCAUAUCUUCGAUUUCAAGCAGUUCCAUGGCAAAUCAAAUACAUUUUUCUUUGUUUAUGACAAUACAUAUUUGACAGGUUAAAGCAUGUACUAUUGUGUAUACUGAAGUGUAACAAGCCUUUCCCAGUAGUAAAACUGAAAGUAUAUAUAGCUUAUGUGUACUGUACUUUCGGUAAUAUAGAUGCCAAUAUCAUUACUUUUUUUAGUUAGGGGGUGGUGGUUAUUCACUCACAGUCAGGUUCAAUGCUCAUCAUGUUAUUUCCUUUCCAAAGAUACCUCGGUGUUCUAUGGUUAGAAAUAGAAGAUAGCAUACACGAGGCCAAAUCUUGACAUGAUUCAGUCAUCCACAUAUUCUAGAAACAACAGAUCAGAUUUAAACAACUAUCUUAGGAGUAGCAGACACAUCUACAUCUAUUACCUACUAAUAAAGCAAGAUGCAUUUCUCUAAAUUUCUAAUCCUUUCACCUUCUAAAAUUAUUAAAACCAAUCGAGCUAGCCCACCUCGGCUGCAAGCAAAGAUUGUUCUACAAUAGUCCCGCCUCGGUUUCUUACACACAAUUUCUCCAGUUCAUAUAUGUCUUUGAUUUUCUCGGUAUUAAGGAGCUAACUUGAAAAUCAAUGAGCCCAGGUUAAGGACCGACGUGACAGAGAAAUAAAGGAAGAAAAUUGCUUUGAGGACAACUGCAUCUCAAACGACAUGAGACGUGACAAAGAAGUAAAAGGGAAGGAAAGAACUAGGAGAAAGACCCUCGAUUAUUUAUAGGGACUCGAAUUGGAACACACAUGAUACAUGACAGAGAAAUAAAAAGGAAGGGAAGAAGUUAAAGAAAAACAUGGUGCAAGCUGUGCGAGCCGCCACCAGAAAUUGUAGCAUCUAAAUGAAAGACUAUUAUCAGGUUCUGUAUUUAUACCAUUUACAGCAACUGGUUUUUGUGCCUUGGGCUGUGAUCCUAAAAAUACAUUGAUGCAUAGUUCAUACAAAUACAAUUUGACGCUGCGACUGGUUCAUACAAUCAAUUUCUCUAAAAAAAAGGAAAGAAAACAAAUCAAGCAAUCUUUUGAAUUUAUGCAUUGUCACAUUGAACCAAAGUGUCUCUGAUGGCAGCGGGGUCGUGUGGUGUCGAGGUGCAGAGAGGAUUCCUCCUCUGGAAUCCUCUCUCCUCAUUAGGGAAAGGAUGUGUGGCCUCAACCACGUGACCAAGAGCUACUGCGUGGAGCCCGUGGCCGCCCACUUACCAAAAGGAGCUUGUGACACGAGGCAAACAUGUGGUACGCCGGGGACAGGAUAAACACGUACUAAGAGCAUCUUGAGCCGAAUACAGCAAAUUCGACCCCUCAAACAACAACGAAAGCACGUCCAUGGCACUGACUGGAUACCUCAAUUUAACUAAGAAAUCUAAUAAAUGCAUACUAUUACAUGACACGUAAAACCUAAUCGAAGUAGAGCCCAUACUAAGAGCAUCUUCAGCCGGAUACAGCAAAUCCGACCCCUCAAAUGCCUACGAGGACGCGUCCGUGGACACUGACCGGUCAUGCCUCAAAUAAUUUCUUCCACAACGGGAUACCUCAAUUCAAUUAAGAAAUUAAUAAAUCCAUACUAUUACGACACCUAAAACCUAAUCUAAGCAGAGCCUGUACGUCCGCCGUGUCCAUAUCCGACGGUCGACUGCACCCCUCAAAGUGUUGCUCCGGUCACCGGCGAGAUAGAAUAGGACAUGGGACAUGCACCGGCAUGCACCGGCUCGCAAGACUCAAGGUGCGGCCGUCUCCCAUGUCCCACUCUUCCUCGUCAGAGUCCAGAACCUUCGCGAUGUCAGUGGACGUGAGAUCGAUGAUUGAUCCGUCUUGGAAGGAGCCAGCGACGUCCACCAUGACGCGGUAGCGGCGCCUGGACUGGUACACCAUACCGGGCACCGGAUAAUGCAACACUGCCUCACGAACGUCCACUGUCACGAGGGCUUCCGUCGUCAUCGGGACACACCUCGCGGCAGAUCCAUGCGCCAUUUGGGUGGAAGCAAUGGAUCUCGAUAGAAAAAGUCUAAGCACUACCGUCGAGCGGCCUCCUCCAGGGAGCGGCGACGUCAUCUCCUCCUCGGGGCCCUGUGCAACGAGCACCGAAUCAAUGGAUCUGGAAGUGUAGGGCUCGAAUUCUCUACCUGCCAUGCCGGAGAAGGCCAAAAAUCGCCGGACGGGAGUUUGGGUGACGAAGUGGAGUGGAGUGGCAAGGGUUUGGCCCGAGGAGCGAAUAAGGAUAAAUUUAUGUGUGUCGGGUAGGUCAACGUGGGCCGUGAAGGGUGAGGUCUUUAGCCAUACUUAUUAGGUAAGGGCAUGUAGAGUUUGUUUUCUCCCGUUGCAACGCACGGGCAUAUUUACUAGUAGUACAUAACUAAAAGUUUUCCAUGAUUAGAAAAAAAUACUUAACAAAUUAUCAUCGGUUAAGCAUUUGGUUUCUUUCAGUUGGUUGGUGUAUACAAUUUUAGACAUGACCAUCGGAUAUAGUCUCACUGCGAAUCUGUGAGGAAGUAUGCAUUGCGAUACGAAGAGCUUCUACCGCCAUGACCGCCAGCAGUAGACCAUAUGCUUCAGCACGCGUGCUGCAUUAUUUCUUUGCCUAAUGGCUCUUAUUUGGGACAUUUGGGUUCUCUUUGAGUGAUUGAGUAGGUAAAGAAAUAAUUCAGCACGCGCGACCAAGACUACAGCAUGGGUGACCAAGGCUCUGGGGCAUGCGUGCCUUUUUUUUUCUCCUGAUUGAAAUCCAGCGUGGGAGGUUUAAGCGUGUAUAAGAGGAAUCUUUAUGGACGCGUGUCUUGUACUUUUUCUAUGGAACCGUAGAUGAGAUCUAUGUUAAGUCCCAUAUUGAAUCUAAGUCAUUGAAAUCUCACAGUUUAACAUUGAUGCAUCUUAAUCAUUAAUUUUCUACCAUUUUAAUAAUAUACUAGCAAAGGGUCCGUGCGUUACAACGGGAGAAUAAAAUCAUAAUCUCCACUGACCAUGAUCACAUUUUGCUGCAUCAUCGAGAUACAAUAUCACUCUCAAUUUAGUAAAAUGAUGUACAUUUUUCUAAACUCGUGAACAUAUUUGAAAUCGUGAACACUUCUUUAAUUCAUGAACACAUUUACAAAUUUUAAAAAACCGAGAACAUUUUUUGAUUUCAUGAACAUUUUAUACAUUUACAAACAUUUUUUUAAAGCUGUGGAAUUUUUUUAACAAUUCGUUCAAAUCGGCAAACAUAUCUAGAAUGGACGAACAUUAUUUUGGAAAUUUGUGGAACAAUAUUUGAAAGUCAAGAAUUGUUUUAGAUUUAACGAUUUUUUAUUUAACAAUCAUUUUUUAAAAUGCAUGAUCAUUUAUUGAACUAGAGAACAUUUUAUGAAUGAAUAAAAUAUUUUAUGAGUCAUGAAUAGUUUUUUCAAUUCUAGAAUAUUUUUCCAUUGAAGAACUUUUUGGAAUUGGCAAAACUUAGUUCAAUUUCGUUAACUUUUUUAAUACACGAACUUUCAAAACAAAUGAUGAACAUUUUUUUUAUUUUCCGAAGAUUUGGUUUCAAAACUCUGAACAUUUUUUUAUACGGAUUUCUUAUCAAAUCGUGAACUUUUAAAUCCGCAAACAUUGUAUGAUUUCUCAACAUUUUAUUUCAAAAUUCUCCUUUUCAAAUUUUUUGCAAAUUUUUCGACGUCCCAAAUUAUUUAUAGUAGAGAAAAAAACAGAAAAGUAAAUGGGCCGCUGGGACAUGGGCCGGCCAAAACGGGCGUGCUACAUCUACUCCCUGCAUGCAGAGCGCAGUAUAUCAUGUCCCUACAGCAUGGCCCGGCUCAGGCGGGGAUUCCCCUGUGUGAUUUUUUUUAGCACUUAUAGGUGGCAUUGGUAUGUCGAAAAAAACUGGCAUUGGUGGGCAAUAUUUUGCGACUUUGACGGAAAUUUUCGUGAAGUACCGCAAGAACCAAUAACCCCUUUAUUAUUACUAGCAAAAGGUCCGGUACGCUGCGACGGGAAACAAAAAUCUCAAAGGCCAUUGACUACAGUUUGUUGCAUCAUCGAGAUAUAUACUAUCACUCUCAAUUUCGUGAAAUGAUGAACAUUUUUUCAAACUCGUGAACGUACUUGAAAUUGUGAUCAUUUUUCAAAUUCAUGAAAAAAUUAUUAAUUUUUGAACAUUUUCUAAAAUCGAACAUUUUUUGAAAUCAUCAGCAUUUUAUUCAAUUCCCAUACACUUUUCUUAAAAUUGUGAUUAGUUUUUAAACAGGUUUCUUGAAUCGAGAAACAAUUCUAAAAUUGAUGAAUUUUUUGAUUUAACGAAUAUUUUUUGAAAUGCAGGAUCAUUUUUUGAAUGAUUGAACAUUUUAUGAAUGAAUAAACUAUUUUGUAAGUCACGAACAGUUUUUGAAUUUUGAAGAUAUUUUACCAUUUAUGAGAACUUAUUGAAUUGGUGAAAUUUGUUCAAUUUCAUUAAGAUGUUUUAGUACAAGAUUUUUUUUCCUGAAAAUCAUGAUAUUUUACCAUUUAUGAGCACUUAUUGAAUAAGCGAAUUUUUUUUACAAAAUCAUGAACAGUUUUUGUAUCCACAAUCAUUUUAUGAUUUAUUAAACAUGUUAUUUUAAAAUUAUCAUUUUUUGAAUUUUUCUAAAUUGUUUGAAGUCCUAAAUUAUUUCAACUAGAAAAAAGUAAAAAGUAAAAGACUAAAUUUUAAAAACAAGCCGUCCGGACAUGGUCUGGCCAAAACGAGUGCGCAUCAUGUUCUACCAGCGGGAGAGCACAAUAUAGGAGGUCCCUACUGCAUGGGUUGCCGUAGGAGGCUGAUUCCCCUGUGUAAAAUGUUUUUUUAUCACUUAUAUGUGGCGUUGGUUGGUAAUAUUUUGUAAUUUGAGGGCAAUUCCCACGACGUACCACCAGAAUCAAUAGCCCUUUUAUUAUUAGAUAUAUACAAACAAAAUAGCUCGUGCGCUGCGAUGGGAGAUUUUUUUUCAUAAUGUCUAAUGGCCAUGACCAUAUUUUGCUGCAUAAGUGACAAUCACUACAACUCUCAAUUUCAUAAAAUCAUGAAUAUUUUUCUUAACUCGUGCACAUAUUUGAAACCGUGAUUUUUUUUUCAAAUUUGCUAACACUUUUACAAAUUUUCAAAUUUUCUAAAAUCAAGAAUAUUUUUUGAAUUCAUGAACAAAUUAUACUAUUCGCAAACAUUUUUAAAGUUGUGAACAUUCUUUUAACAAUUCUCUUGAAUCGGCGAGCAUUUCUAGAAUGGAUGAACUUUUUUUUUUGGAUAUUGAUGGACAUUUUUUUGAUUGAACGUACAUUUUUUGAUUUAACAAACAUUUCCUGAGAUGCUUAAUUAAUUUUUGAAUCAGCGAACAUUUUAUGAAGGAAUAAGCUAUUUUGUAAGUUGCCGGUCAGUUUUUGAAUUUUUAGGAUAUUUUUGCAUUCAUGAUUUUUUUGAAUUUAUAAAAUUUUGUUCAAAUUCAUUACAUUUCUUUAAUACCUAAACCUUUUAAAAUACCAUGAACACUUUUUGAAUUCUCGAACAUUUCCUAAAAAAUACGCACAUAUUUCAAUUAAGCUAACAAUUUUAUAGAAAAUCACAAACAUGUUUUGAAUCUAAAAACAUUUGAUGAUUUUAUUUCAAAAUUUUGAUUUUUGUAAUUUUGGGAAUAUUUUGAAUUCCUAAAUUAUUUAAAGUAGAAAAAGGAAACAUAAAAUAAAAAAUAAAAAGGAAGUUUUAAAAACAGGCCACUAGGACAUGGACCGGCCCAAACAGGCACAAUGCGUCUUCCAACCCGAAGAGCGCACUAUAGGAGGUCCAUACUGCAUGGGUUUGGCCCAGCCGGAGGAUUCACCUGUGUGAAACAUUUUUUUACCACUUAUAGAUAGCAAUGCAAUGCUCAAUGCCCCAUAUGGAGCCAGUGAAGUAAAGGAUUGACUAUGGGGGCAAAGUACGUGGAUGGAUUGAGAGGUGCAUGGCUUCGGCCGGUAAGGAGAUUCUAGUCCGUGGCUCAAGCCGUCCCUACGUUCUCCAUGUCCUUUUUUCUCCUUCCAAGAGGUUUAUGCAACACAUUGACACGAUGCUGAGAAAAUUUUCUAGGACAGCAAGAACGUUGAGCAAAAGGUAGCAUGGGUUUCUGGGAUGUUCUAACUAUGCCAAAAUACCAAAGUGGGCUAGGCUUUAGAGAUACAGAACUUUUCAACCUUGCAAUGCUAGCCAAGCAAACCCGGAGGCUGAUUGAAGACCCUGCGUCUCUUAGUGCAUGGAUCUUAUGCUCGGUGUAUUAUGCUCAUGGUGAUGUGUUGCAAGCUGAACUGGGAAACCACCCAUCACAAGUAUGGGGGGCAGUGUGUGCGGGUGUCAUCGUUUUGAAACAGGGGCCUAUAAAACGUGUUGGCUAUAUAAGCUUUGGGAGGACAAUUGGAUCCCACGAGAUUUCAUGUUAAGGGCCCUUCGCCCGAGGAGUCCAAAUCCUCUAAUCCUGGUGUCUGACUUGAUCGAUGGAGCAAUGAAAAUUUGGAAUCAUCAAAAGGUCCGGGAACAUCUUCAACCUCCGGAUGCUCAAGUUGUGUUGAACACCCCUUUAAGCUCGCAUAAUCUGGAAGAUAGUUGGGCAUGGAACUACGACAUGAGCAGGUUUUUUACUGUUAGAUCAGCUUACCGGUUGCUGAUCGAUACAAAAUAUAGGAGGGAGGCAUGGCUUGAUGGAUGACCUUCACCGUCAAACACAAAAGAGGUGCACCAGGAGUGGAAGAAGCUUUGGAAGGUUAAGGUUCCUGGAAUGUGAAAAAUUUCGUGUGGCGACUUGCACGAAAUUCAACCCCGACAGAGGUAGUUCAUCACCAAAGGAAUAUGACUGACUCUAACGUGUGUCAGAUAUGCAACAAUGCUAAAGAUUCAUGGCGUCAUGCAUUACUAGACUGCAACAAGUUAGAUGAAGAGCUGGUUGAACAUAUCAUUGCUUGUGGGCAUGCUGAUGCGAGGCUGUGGUUGAUGGAGCUCAUGGAAUCAACAAGGGAGGAGAAAUUCUUUCAGAUCCUGAUUGCUCUGUGGGCUAUAUGGUCGGCGCGCAGGAAGGAAAUACAUGAAUAUAUUUUUCACUCACCUCUCACCAUGUUUAAUUUUAUUCAGAAGUUCCUUGGGGAUCAAUUUUUAAUUCCUCGAAGGGUGGCCAUCUUAGCAAGUUCUUCGGCUACAAUUCGGUGACAAGGGAGAAGUUGGAGAGCCCCUACCCAGGGAUGCAUGAAGCUAAAUGUCGACGCUACAGUUAGCAGGAACCAAGACAAGGGGUCAUGUGAUGUCAUUUGUAAGGAUGACAGGGGUCCUUUGUUGGAGCAUCUGUGUUAGUAACACAUGAUUUUGUCCAACCAGAAAUUCUUGAGGCGAUGGCCUUUAGUGAGGCUCUUAAUCAGGCUUCUGAUCUUUACCUGAGCAGAAUCCAUAUUGCUACCGAUUGUGCUGCAACUAUAGCUCAUCUUAAGGGCGCGUACAUGGGUCCAAACAUGGCGAUUUUUCAAGAUAUAAAGAUGAAGAUGGAAGAAUUCGUCCAAGUUCACUUUGAGCAUGAGAAGAGAGAGCACAUUUGGGAGGUGCAUGACCUCGCAAAGGCUUCUGUUACCCUAUACCUAUGGGGUGCCAUGUGUGGCUAGUAGAUCCCCCCGAUUUCAUUUGUAUGCCAUGUAAGGUCUUGGUUGAAUAAUAUGGGGUGACAUUUCUCAAAAAAAACUUAUAGAUUGCAUUGAUGGAUAAUAUUUCACAACUUUGGAGGCAAUUUUCAUGAUGUACCGCCAGAAGCAAUAACCCCUUUAUUAUUAUGUAUAGACUAGCAAAAGGGCCAGUGCGUAACAAUGGAAGAAAAAUAAUCAUAAUCCUCAAUAUCCAUGAUAAUAUUUUAAACUCGUGAACAUUUUUAAAAUUCAUGAACACUUGCACAAAAUUUUGAACAUUUUCUAAAAUCAAGAAAAUUUUGAAUUCAUGAACAUUUUAUACUAUUCGUAAAUAUUUUUUAAAAUUGUGAACAUUUUUUUAACUUUUUUCUUGAACCAGCAAACAUUUCUAGAUUGGACGAACAUUAUUUUGGAAAUUUAUGGAAUUUAUUUUGAAAGUCAGGAAUAUUUUUUGAUUUAGUGAAUAUUUUUUGAAAUGCAUGAUCAUUUUUCGAAUCAGCGAACAUUUUAUGAAAGAAUAAACAAUUUUGUAAGACACUAACAAUUAUUUUAGGUUAUUUUUCUAUUCAUGGACUUAUCUGAAUUGGUGAAUUGUGUUGAAUUUCAUUAUUAUUUUUUAAUACAUGAACUUUUAUAAAAAUCAUGAACCUUUUUUUGAUUUCCUAAACAUUGUUUUUUCAAAAUUUCAAACAUUUUUUAAUAAGCAUUUUUUUUAUAAAAUCACGAACAUUUUCUGAAUCCACAAACAUUUUAUGAUUCAUUAAACAUUUUAUUUCAAAAUUCUCAAUUUUUAAAACUAUUGGAACUUUCUUGAAGUCCCAAAGUAUUUAAAGUAUAAAAAAUGAAAAGAAAAAAAAAGGCCGCCUGGACAUGUGUCGGUACAAACGGGUGCGCCGCGUCUUUUCCCAGCGCGCAUAGUGCAAUAUAGCAGGUCCCUACUGCAUGGGCCGGAUCUGGUAGGGGAAUCCCCUUUGUGGAACAUUUUUUUAUUAUUUAUAGGUGGCAUUGGUGGAUAAUAUUUUGCAACUUUAGAAAUAACUAGCAAAAAAACCCGUGCGUUGCAAUGGAAAAGAAAAUAACACACGUUCUUAACCCAAUAACCAUGACUCAAGACCUUAAUAGGCCCGUGUCUUUUAGUUUCACAUGGCAUCACAUUUGUAUUUCCUCUAUACUCACACACUCGCUCGAAAAAAAAGCCCAUGCAUUGCAACGGGAAAGAAAAUAACACACACUCUUAACCCAAUAACCAUGACUCAAGACAUUAAUAGGCCCACGUCUUUUAGUUUCACAUGGCAUCACAUUUGUGUUGCCGACAGUGAACUCUGUGCUCACACAAUGAAAACACGUUUGAAUGUGGUUAGUCUUAAUGUCUCUCUCUUUUGCGCGCGCGCACAUGCGCACACUCGCUUGGAAUAAGAUAAAAAGUAUGUUGUUUUUUUCCUGCAAGGUUUUUCAUAGUUGUGCAUGCAUGGUUCUCGAUGUUUUUUUCUCUCACUCUAGUUUUAAUAGAUGUUUAUUUGCAAUUUGAAUAACCGACGGUACAAAAAAAAACAGACCGUACACUAUAUAUUAAGUUUGCACCAAAAAUUAUAUUUUAGAAAUAUUUAACAGCUAAAAAUAACUUCAUAUUUAGAUUCUACAUAUUUUUCUAAUCAAGUUUCAUAUAUAACAUGUUAAAAUUUAAGUUACGGUUUAAAAGAUAUGAAUAAUCUUAUUUUACAUAAACUGUAGAUUGAUUAACCGAAACGUCAAGGAGUUUUCUGUUAAAACUAAAAAAACGUUUCGGCUGACUUAAAUAUGGACGGCGGGUUGAUUGUCUAAAACGUCAGGGGUUUUCUGAGAAAAUGAGAAAAACGAUUCGGUUAUAACUUAAACGUAUACUGCGGGUUGAUUUACAGAAAACCGAGGGGUUUAUUUGUAAAAUGGCGUGACGGACGACCAGAAACAAUCCGUGCUUUAUUAGUAAGGUAAGAUAAGAUAAGAUAAGAGGUAAGAUUUACGUGACGUACCGCAAGAAGCAAUAACCCCUUGGAUUUUAGGUGAUAUAUAGAUAAACAUAGACUAUUAGGUAGGUAUUCGGUGUAGAUAUAUAAUAGAUGAGUCAGGUUCAUGAGUUAUGAUAAACCGUAUGUAUAAUCUCUAGCACAAUCACUAAAAAAAACACUAGGAUCUGCAGCUUUAAUUAGUACUUCAAACAUUAGCGCUGCCUUCAAGCUGUCGUUAGUCACUGGGUCAUUUGGUUAGCAUCGGUUUGAUGCAUGGCCAGGUUGUUAGUUCGACACCCGUCGCAAGCGCUUAAGCGUGUACUUUGCCCUAUAUUCUAAAUAUAUUAAACCUACCUAGGAUUCUUACAGGGGGAGGAGGGCGUGUGCAUCUCAGGGUGGACCUAGCCAUUAUGCGCAAAGGCGUGGACUCAUCCAAAAGUAAUAUAUUUCAACAUAGACCAAGCAUUCAGUGAUGCAGAUCUUGGGCUUGCAACAAUAAACUACUAAUGGGAAAUAACUUGGUCUACCUAUGUAACCUUGCGAUGCUUGCAAGACAAGCUUGGAGACUAAUUCAGUGCCCUGAAUCUUUGUGUGCAAGGGUCCUUCGAGCCAAGUACUACCCAAACAAUGACAUUCUUUCUGCUGCUCUAGUCACGAAUAUGAGUUAUAACUGGAGAAGUAUUCUCAAAGGUUUGGAGAUUGUGAAAGAAGGGUAUAUCUGGAGAAUCGGAUCUGGCGAGAGGGCGAGGAUAUGGAUUGAUCCUUGGAUUCCUAGGGAUAUGUCAAGAAUGCCUUUAACAGGACAAGGUGCCACCUACUCACACGUGUUUCAAAAUUGAUCAAUCCGGUCUCACACUCAUGGGAUGUUGAUCUUGUGAGGUAAACAUUCCAGCAAACAGAUGUACAAAAAAUCUUAAGUAUUCCUUUGUGCGAACAAUACGACGAUUUCAUAGCGUGGCAUUUUGACUCGAAGGGUUUGUUUUCAGUCAAGCCGGCUUAUUAUGUACACACUGAGAUGAUGCAGAAGCAAGCUUACAGACCGGCGGGUGAAGCGACAAGUGGUAAUGGGUGGAGACAUGCAGUCUGGAAGGCUCUUUGGAAUGUCAAAUGUCCCGGGAAGGUACACCAUUUUAUGUGGAUGUUGGGGCCACAACAGUCAUCCUCUCCAUAUGAAUAUUCAGAGGCGAGGUGUCGAGCUUGACACUAGAUGCACCGUAUGCGGCGGUUAUUUUGAAGAUGGAGGUCACUUCUUUUUUCGAUGCAAAUAUGUCAAAGCAUUGUGGAGAGCUGCAGAACUGGAAAAUGAAAGAAGAGCUCUGAUGCAACAACCAACUUCCCUGGAAGUCCUUGAGGGCAUCUUUGCCCUGGAGGAAGGGAAGAAACUGGAAGUGAUAUGCCUCUUGUGGAAACGGUGGACAGGAAUGAACAAAGUAAGGCAUGAUGAGAGAUAGACUGGGCUGGUAGUGUUUGCUGCUUAGCUAAAUCUGACUGUUAAUGCGUGGACAGAUUUUUUCUCUCCUCUGGUGAAACCUAACGUUGCAACAAAUCCCAAAUGGAAGCCACCCCCUUCAAAUUGGGUUAUGAUUAACUCAGAUGCAGCUUAUUUUGAGGCAACAAGGGAAGGUGGAUGGGGCUGUAUAGCUAGAGAUUCAAAGGGAGAUGUUUUGUUUGCAGCAGCCGGGAAAUUAGCAGGCCUUUCACAGGCUAUUCAUGCGGAAGCUCUUGCAAUGAUGAAGGUUAUAUCUCUUGCGGAGGGAUUUGGGAUGGGUCGUGUCAUUUUCUGUACCGACUACCACCCGCUCAAGCAUGCUGUGCUGCCUAGCUCUCUAGAUAGAGCUAGUCUGGGAAUCCUCUACCGUGAAAUUAAGUAUUUGCUGCAGAUGGGUUUCAUAGAUACCAAAGUGGAGUUUUGUCCACAUAUUUGUAAUGCACCAGCUCACACGCUGGCAAGUUUGGGUGUGAGUAGUUUAAGUGAGAACCACCAAGUGUGGACCUCCAAUUUCCCCACUGAUGUAAUCGGUGCUGUGGCCGGCAAUUUGUCCGUGACCACUAGCUAUUGGAAUGCAUGUUGUUCCUCGUCAAAAAAAGAAACCAAAAAUUGAACAAAAAUACAUUUUUAUUGUUCUUUUCUUUUUUAUUGAGGUUCAUGUCCACUACAUUAUUUCAUAUUGUGAAUUUUCCUGGUUCAUGCAUACUUUUUUUAUUUUUACAGUUCUUUGUGAUAUUGACCUAUAAUACAUCAUCAUAAUAAAAAAAGGUUGGUAACCUAUAUGGGGUCAAUGGGGUGGUACCAACAUAGGGCUGCCAUCUUCGUGACACACAACACGUAUAACACAACACUCAUUAAUAACAUCAUGGUCCUUGCAUCCUAGCUUAGUUACUUUUGUUGUUUCUUCAGGUUUAAUUCUUUGGGGUCAGAAUCAAUGUAUUGAUUUUUGAUCGCCAAGCCUCAUUGUGAUAUGAGCCCUAGAGGUUAGGGUAACAAAACUGAAGCCUUCAGUUUAAUUCAGUCUGAAGCAAUGCUUGUUUUAUGUAAUAAAAUUCCACUUUUCAAAGUGCCUUAUUCGUCUAUUCUAGCUUAAUUGUAAUAUAAGACAAUCUAGUAAGUUGUCCAUCAUGUUACAUAUGCAACUAUUUGGGUACACUUUUAGUUAGUUUUAUUCCCUCAUACGCAAGCAGGGCAGACGGGGACAACAAAUAGAUACCUUGCCUAAUAGUGCUUUUUGAGGUUUUCUUGAAUAAGAGAAAGAAACACUAAUACAUCAAAGUAAAAAGAAAAGGGAAAGAAAAACACAGUACUAUGCUUUAAUAUAACCAACCGGCCCACAUGAAUGAUUCUUGAACGCUCCGAGUAAAGAAAUGAUGUUCAAACUGGCAACCAAUCAAACAGUCGGAAAAGUAACACACGAGGAUUCCUUUUACAGCGUAUGUAAUUUCAACAUGAAGUAUAUCGACAGAGCUUCGUAUCAUUUCAUUACAGGCACAAACCCAGCGGGCUGUCGAACAAGGAUGCUAUGAAUUACCAAAGAACCAAAAAUUAAUCAUGCAAUAUCAAUAUGUAUUCAAUUUAUCUACAAUGUACCGACUCUUUUCAUUCAUUAAAGCUUUUCUUUAUGACAUAUUUCAGCAUCGGUACCAAUAUGAUUUUUGUACAUACACCAUAACAUAAAAAGUUAAGUGAACAAGCAAAAACAAAACAAUUAAUAGGAUAACUAAUGGGUAAAGUUUAAUAUCACCAUAUACAGAUUUUAUCACAUAAUGUAUCAAUAGGCGCGGCGUGAUGCCGCGCGGGCAUAGCUAGUAUUUAUUUAUUACAUACUCCCUCCGUAAACUAAUAUAAAGUCUUUUAGAUCACCAAAUGGAAUGUGUUAUUUUGAGUGUUUUUUUCAGUCCUCAAGUAGCUUGAGCAAGGUCUUUCUCGGGCAAUGCAUGUGCUCAUCCUCUUGGAUGUCUAUCUUUUGUUUUGUGGGAAAAACUUCUGAUCUAUUCAUCAACUACUAAUGUAGUACAAAGAACAACAGAAGUAAAAAUCACAUCCAAGUCCAUAGACCACCAGCUAUGACUACAAGCACUGGAGUGAGCCAUAGAUGUGUUGCCAUUAGCGCCCCUACAUCAUCAGAGUCGGACAAGCGUUGUUGUAGUGGACAACCAGAAAGUCGUCAUGCUAAGGCGUGAGAGGACCAACACACCAAAAUAACAACGACCAUCGAUGAAGAGAAGUAUAGAUCGAAAGGAUCCAACUUGUAGACACAUGAAUAUAAACGAACAAAGACAUGAUCCAAGCGGAUCCAACAGAGACAAAUGCCGACUGAAUCCCGCGAGAUCCACUGUGAAACAAACCUCCACAAGCCCUCCGACAACGUGAGAAAAGCACCACCGGGAUGGGAGCUUGGCGGGGAGAACCUUAUUCUAUCUUCAGGAAGCCAACACCACCUCGCCUUUCUCAGCAGGACACAAACUCUACCAAAAAUUCAAAAGUACCAAAAAAUGGAGCCCUUCUGCCGGUAAGGAUCAGGAUCCACCUCGUCUUCAUGUCCCUAUGGCACAGGAAACGAGGUAGGCCGGCGACUGCAUGGCGGGAGGCAGUGAAAACCCUAGCAUUGGGUCCCUUUGCGUGAGUAGCGAAAGAGGUCUAGAGUUUCAUCUAUACGCUUUAGUCAAAUAACUUCAUUCGACAACCAAAAACAAAUAGGGUUCUAAAAUAGAAAAGUAUUUUAUUUUGCAACAAUUGAUAAUUUCCCUUAGGAAAUCUGUCCUUAUCAUGUUCUUGCCUCGUCCUACAGGUCAACCUGCUGGUCAAUUGGCUUCAUUUCCGCAAACUCCAGUUACAUACUAGCCAUUGACAUCUAAUUAACCACCUAGGGUUAUGAGUUUAGGGUAGGUUCAUUAUCAAGACAUGCAGGCUAUCCAUUCAUUGAGGAAAAUUCAGUUCAGCUUCUUACUUUAUGACCAGGUAAUGUCCCUGGUCAACUCUAGUGUGCUCCUGUAAAUUAGUUUUUCCAUAAAGGAUGGAUUUUAUUUAACUCAAAAUGAAGCACCAAGGGAAUACAAACACAAUUAGCACAUACCCGGCCUCUGCAUAGCUAGAAUGGACACAACUAAUACCAACUCACACACACAAAAAACAUGCUGGCAAAUAGCAAAGUCCUAUAAGACCAAAGCUAUGCCUAAGCGAGAAAAAAACUGAGAUUAACAAAUCCGUGAUUGACAAACUACAACUUUUAUCAUACCCGCACCAAUCACCUCAUGGUAGUAUAAAGACAAUGAAGGGAGCGGCGCUCAAGCAUUGCCAUUACCAGAGCCAACAACCAAUGGCCAAAUUCUAGUUUUUUACCUUGAAGAAUCAAUUCGAGCAUGUCCGAGCAAUGCCUUCAAAAAGGUAAUGAUGCAAAACAUCGCCAUUGCUAGUUAUAACCAAACUGGGAUAAACCUAGGUUUUCACCCCGGAGCUUGUUGAAGUCAAUCAUGUGUUGUCGCCACCACUUUUCUGCGAUCCGAGCAACUACAUUAGUUAAAGGGGCAUGCUUCAUUACGCACCUUUUUUUUAAAAAAAAGAGUAGUUUUGUCUAAUGUUAGAUGCUAGGUUUGUUAGGCUAGCUACACAAAGAAAUCCCUAUUCGUUAGGGGCGUUUUCUUCGGGUUCCACGGCCUAGGAGCAUGUCAUGCAAUAUCAAAACUUCGUAAUUACAAUUGUACUAGCUAAUUGCCCAUGCAUUGCAAAGGGGCAAUGUAAAUUCUAAUGGUUCAACGCCAAUCAUGUCGGACAUAUACCUCACACCCACCAUUCUGGAUCUUGGUAGGAUUUUAUUUCAUUUGAGUUCUGAUAGGGGAAGGCAAGAAUUUUUGCCAUUUAGUCGAGGUUUUAGUAACAUUUGAUUUGGUUUGGGUAUGGGUAGGGAAAUACAAGGAUAGUUUAGGUUUUGGUUUGAUUUAAUUUGAUUUGGUUGAGUUAAUACAGGGCAUGGGGGCCGUAUAGGUGAGAAACACCAAAUUGGGUUGGGGGUGGGGGUGGGGGGUGGUGGAGGCAAGAGCGAACGUACAACAACCAACUCCCAUAUAAUAGUAGAAAUUUAGUUUGUUUUGCACCAAGAACCAUCUUUCUCACAUAUGUGCUCUAAUCUACAAAAGAAAAACUUGGUGAGAAAAUCAAAUCUCAAUUCGCUCGGAUAUAUUACGAGUAGCCUACUAUUUUCAUGUCACUUGAUAAUAAGUUUCGCCUAAGCAGCUGGACAUGAUAAGCCUAUGAUAGACAUUCCUUGUAUCCCUGAAAAGGAUAUUCCUCUUGUGGUUGCUUUUCCAUUACUGUUUUUUUAUCGUGUUUAAUUUGCACUGUGUCAGCUCAUUACCUCACAUGUUGAUGCAUGUGUGGCCGUUAUAGUGGCCGUGAGUUUAGGUCCAAACUGAUAAAUACAUAUGGACUAAUGUGUAUGUCUUUUUUCCAGGAAACUGUCGAUCUAUUCAUCUCCAAUCAUGGCAGUAUAACAAACACCAGAAAUAAUAAAGAUUACAUCCAGAUUCAUAGACCACCCAGCGACGACUACAACCACUGAAGCGAGUGAAGGCACGCCGUCGUCAUCGCCCCUCCAUCAUCAGAGUCGGGCACAACUUGUUGUAGUAGACAGAGUCUUCGUGCUAAGGCCCCAUAGGACCAAUGCACCAGAACAACAACCGCCGCCGAUGAAGAGAAGUUUAGAUCGGAAGAAUCCAACCUGAAGACACAUGAACAAAGACGAACAAAGACCGGAUCCGAGCGGAUCCACCAAAGAAAACCGCCGAUCGAAUCUCGCGAGAUCCGCCGGAGACACACCUCCACAUGCCCUCCGACGAUACUAGACACACCAUUAGGACGGGGGUUAGACGGGGAGAACCUUAUUCCAUCUUCAAGAAGCCGCCGCCGUCUCGUCUUCUUGACCAGGAGACAAAUCCUAACAAAACUUGAAGAAGCACCUGAAAACGGAGCCCUCCCACCGGCAAGGGCCGGGGUCCACCGCCACUGGUAGAAAAAGGGCCUAUAGUCCCGGUUCGUAAGGGCCUUUAGUCCCGGUUCCUGAACCGGGACUAAAGUGUCGGUACUAAUGCCCUGUACCUUUAGUCCCGGUUCAAUCCAGAACCGGGACUGAUGGGCCUCCACGUGGGCAGUGCGCAGAGCCCAGGCAGGAGACCCUUUGGUCCCGGUUGGUGGCACCAACCGGGACCAAUAGGCAUCCAUGCGUCAGCAUUUGUGGCUGGGGUUUUUGUUUUUUUNNNNNNNNNNNNNNNNNNNNNNNNNNNNNNNNNNNNNNNNNNNNNNNNNNNNNNNNNNNNNNNNNNNNNNNNNNNNNNNNNNNNNNNNNNNNNNNNNNNNNNNNNNNNNNNNNNNNNNNNNNNNNNNNNNNNNUGGGGGUUUUGGGGGGUUAAUUUAGGUGUUUCAUAUAUUGUGUUAGCUAGCUAUAAUUAGUAGAGAGAAGUGUCCUAUCUUACGUCCGUGCUUGGUCGACGCUACAUACUAUACAUAUGUAUAGAGAGGACUAGACACGCUAGUUAGCUAGUAAGCAAACGAAGGAAACAGAAGAUCGUCAUGAACAUAUAUGCAUACAGAGAGAAGUGAUAUCGACCACCUCUCCUUCUCCGAGAGAUUGGUCGAACAACAAGUUCUCGUAUAUCUAUCCGACACUAGCGGCUACAUAUAUACAAUAAUUAUCUCUUACAAAUAUAAUCAUACGGACUCAUGGUCCACAUAAUAUUCUCCGUCUUCAGUGAUCACUUGGUCAAGAAAGAAUGCCGCCAAUUCCUCUUGAAUUGCUCGCAUGCGAGCUGGUGCUAGGAGUUCAUCCCGCUUCCGAAACAUCUAAUUUGAAGAAGGGGGUCAAUACAUAUAUAUAUAUGAAUGAAUGAAACUAAAUACAAAUGAUGGUAAAAAAAUAAAAUUGUGAAUGUUGUUAUUUACGUACUUCAUAUUGUUCGUCAGAGUACCCGCCCCGCUCACAGGUCGUGUGGCGGAUGGACUCGCAGACGUAGUAUCCACAGAAAUUAUUCCCUUUUUUCUGCCACAACCACUUUACAAGAAAUAGAGGUCAAUCAAACUGAUAAGCAAGAAUGCUAAAUGGUAUUGAUGAAACUAGCGCUUGAAUCACUAGGAGAUGCGCGGAACAUGCUACUAUAGUACUUACUUUCGGGUGUCUAAAUUCCAGCUCCUUCGGCAGUCCCGGAACUGUUCUGGUGAAUUUUCUCCAAACCCUGCCGGACAAAGAAAACAAUUACUUGAUAUCAGGAAAUGAACAAAGUUGCUGAUAUGGUGGAUAAUGAUCGAUUUAAUUUACUUCUUGAGGAUUUCAGUCAUGUCCGCAUACUCCUGGGGAUCUUUUCGUUUAGAGUCCAAGACGGUUACUACUCCCUGCUCAAGCCUAAUCUCUAGGAGAAUAUAGUGGAAACUGCACACGCAUGCAUAACUCAUCAAUUACAUUACUAUAACCUGGACUAAUAUAUAAGGGAAACCAAAUAUGCACAAGACAGUAACACUCACUUGAAUUUGUAAGGAAAGAGUAUUAUAUCUUUGUUUUCAUUUUUUUGAAUGAUCAUAGCAAGUUGGCCUCGGUAUCUCCGGGACGAUGUUGAACCUCAGUUGCAUCUAUGAGAUAUGUGUUAAUGAACCCAAUAUCACCGAUUUGUCUUUUCUUCAAUUCGGCGAUCUUCAUUCUGCAUAAUAUAGUGAGGAUAAUUAUAAAUACAUGCAAUGAAAGAGAUGAGCUAUAUAGAGAGACUUAAUGACAGAAGUAGUAGUACUUACAGACAGUAGCAGGUGAUCGUUGUUUUAUCGAGGGCCAAUUGAUUGAAAAACUGAUAGAACUCCUCAAAUGGAAUAGGCAACAUUUCAAUUCCAACGAGGUCAUGCUCUGGUUUAACUCUCGCAUACAAAGUACUCCUCCCCCAAGACUCUCUGCAAAUUUUCAAGUACCAAUCAUGUAAUCUUCGCAUCAUCGUUGUUAAAGAUUUUUCAUCUUUGACGAGAGGCUUCCCAUACUCGUAUCUGUGUAUCCGCACCUCCAUGGUAUCAUAAUGUACAUCGUCGGGCAGGUAAUCGUCAACAUUGCCAUAACCGGGCACCAUCCUCGGAUCGACGAUGUCGCUAGGCACCUUGAGGGGGGGGGCACGAUUGCUUUGCUUGUUCGCCGAGCUGGGCAAUUUGUUUCCCGGCUGCUCGUCGUUCUUUCAGCCUUUGAUCACUGACUGUACUUCCCGACCGCUCCGCUUCGGCCCAUGUCUUUGCAAUAAUGCGCUCAUAGUUGCCUUUCGGCAGAGACUUGGGUGGCUUUGCCAGGGCAGCCAGAGUGCGCUUCACUUUCACCGGAUCUGCCUUCUCCUCCGGAGGUGGCGCGAUCUCGGCGUUCUCCUCCGGGGUCCUCUCAUAUGGUAACUUCUCUGGAGUCUUCAAAGAAGGACCGAAUCUGUAUGUCCUCCCGCCUCUGGUUGUACUGCUAGAUGCCGACCGAGCAGACGGAGCAGUUGUAUUCUUUACUUGCUUACGAGGCGGAGGAGAAGGACUACGACGCGCCGGAGCAGCUGGAGCGGCGGCAGGUCUCUUCCGCCCUUGCCGACGAGGCGGAGAAGGAGGAGGCUGGCUGCUCGGGCGCGUCAGUGCAGGCGGAGAAGGAGGCGGAGUGCCGCCAGAGAAGGAGCCGGCUGAGGGCCCUGAUCGUCACUCGCCGGAGGAGGAGGCGGUGGAGGAGGCGGAGUGCCCUGACUCGCCGGAGGAGGAGGAGGAGGCGGAGGCGUCCAGUUCGGAAGGUUGAUGAGCUCCUUCCGCCAUAGGCAUGGAGUAUUCAGAGCAGACCCCAGCCGAGUCUCCCCUUCACCGGUAGGAUGGUCAAGCUGGAGGUCCUCAAAUCCCUCCGUUAUUUCAUCCACCAUCACCCUAGCAUAUCCUUCUGGAAUCGGCCGGUAGUGAAAAGUUGCGCCGGGUUCAGUAGGAUAAACAGAGCCAACAGCCGCCUUGACCUUCAAAUUCAUCCAUUGCGUCAUAAGGUGGCAAUUUUGAGACUCCGUGAUAGCAUCCACGGGAUAGCUGGCAGGAGCCAUCAAGGCAUGCUCCGGCUGAAGCAGCUCGGUGGAAGCCACGCUGCUUCUACGCUGAGAUGGCGGGGUAGCUUCGGGGGAGGCUUCGGCAGUACGUUUGCUGCGAUUUGCUUCUCGUUCCUCUAUCGCGUCUACCCUUGCUUGCAGCGCCUGCAUUUGGGUCUGCUGCACUUUUUUCCUCCUCUCAUGGGAUUUGUAACCGCCUGCGUCCGGAAACCCAACCUUCCACAGAAUGGAGCGUGGCGUGCCUCGUGUCCGUCCAGGGUGCUCAGGAUUCCCGACGGCCAUUGUGAGCUCGUCGUUCUCUCUGUCUGGAAAGAACUUCCCUUGCUGUGCUGCUUCGAUAUACUGCUUAAGCUUCCUGACUGGUAUGUCCAUUUGAUCAUUCAUCCAAAUGCACUUCCCUGUUACAGGGUCCAAGGUUCCGCCAGCCCCGAAGAACCAAGUCCGGCAAAGGUCUGGCCAACUAAUUGUCUCUGGUUUGAUCCCUUUAUCAACCAGAUCAUUCUCAGUCUUGGCCCACUUAGGCCGGGCUACGAGGUAGCCACCUGACCCCGUGCGAUGGUGAAGCAUCUUCUUCGCAGCAUUUUGCUUGUUUGUCGCCGACAUCUUCUUACUCUUUUCUGAUGUCUUGUGGGCCACAAAUGCGGGCCAGUGAUCUCUGAUCUUCUCAUAUCUGCCCUUGAAUUCUGGUGUCUCAUUAUUUUCGAUAAACUUAUUCAACUCUUUAUUCCACCUCCUGAAUAGUUCUGCCAUCCUCUUAAGAGCAAAAGACUUGAUUAAUUUCUCCUUAACUGAGUUCUCUGGAUUAUCCUCUGGCAGUAGGGUGAAAUUUGACUUCAGCUUAGUCCAAAGAUCAUUUUUCUGCAUAUCAUUGACAUAAGACACCUCAGGGUCUUCUAUAGCCGGGUUAAACCAUUGCUGGAUGCUUAUCGGGAUCUUGUCCCUAACCAGAACCCCGCACUGAGAAACAAAUGCGCUCUUUGUCCGGAAGGGUUCAAUCGGUUGGCCGUCGGGCGCAAUUGCUAUGAUCUCAAACUUUUCAUUCGAGCUCAACUUUUUCUUCGGGCCUCGUCUCUUUACCGAAGUUGUGCUCGAUCCGGAGGGCUAGAAAAAAGAAUAAAGACUUAAUUAAUAUGUGUACAUACCAAAACAAUGAAUGCAUCAAUCAGCUAGUCAGCACAGGCUUAACUAAUAUAUAUACCUGGCCGGACUCGGUUCGGUCACCGGAGUCGUCAUCACGGUCUCCUUCUUGCACCGGCAUUGGGUCACCGGAGCCGUCCUCAUGUUCUUCUUCUUGCACCGGCAUUAGGUCACCGUAGCCAGCUUGUUCACCCUCUCCUUCCAGACCAUCGGUUUCGUUGAGAAACAACGAGACGGCAUCACUUCCUUCUGCGAUUAUGUCCCUCAACAACGCUUCUUUUGCUUUGUCUAGGGCGGUGUCCAUAGUUUCUACAAAUAUUUACAACAUGGCAAUUAUUAUUCAAACAUGACAGAUGGAUAUAUUAGUGCCAAACGUAGAACUAGCUACCUAAUCAUAGUAAGCUAUCGGGAGGGGGUAUAUAUCGACAACGACGACACUACAUCUAUGUCCCUCGACGACCCUCGUUCCCGAUAAAAAAAGAGGAAUAAGAAGAAAAAAAAGAGGAGAAGAAAGAAUAGAGGAGAUCUCCUCUAUUCUUUCUUCUCCUCUUUUUUUUCUUCUUCCUCUUCUUUUUUUAUCCUCUUCUUCCUCUCAUGUUCGAGAGCAUCGCCGAGGGGUCGGGAGGUUGCCUAGUGUCAAAGGAUUCGACAAAACCAUGUCUUCAUCAUUAGGCGAAAGUAACACGUGCAUGAUAGUACGAAGCUCUCCAAAGUUAUUUUGGAACGGAGUCCUAGAUAGGAUAAUUCGCUUUUUGAUACAAAGUUCAGCAAGAACCUUCCAAAUAUCGUUAUUUGGAAGGCCUUUGCUGAAAUUCAUACAAGAAGGCAAAUUAUCCUAUCCGGGACACCAUUCCAAAAUAAUUUUGGAGGACUUUGUCAUGCCCUGGUUACUUCUGGCUAAUGAUGAAGCCAUGGAUUUCUUCAAUACUUCGACACUAGGAAACCUCUCUCGACCCCUCGGCGAUCCUCGACCCCUCGAACCCUCGACGACCCUGGAACCCUCGACCCCUCGGCGAUCCUCUUCUUCCUCUCAUGUUCGAGAGGAUCGCCGAGGGGUCGGGAGGUUGCGUAGUGUCAAAGGAUUCAACAAAACCAUGUCUUCAUCAUUAGGCGAAAGUAACAUGUGCAUGAUGGUACGAAGCUCUCCAAAGUUAUUUUGGAACGGAGUCCUAGAUAGGAUAAUUCGCUUUUUGGUACAAAGUUCAGCAAGAACCUUCCAAAUAUCGUUAUUUGGAAGGCCUUUGCUGAAAUUCAUACAAAAAGGCAAAUUAUCCUAUCCGGGACACCAUUCCAAAAUAAUUUUGGAGGACUUCGUCAUGCCCUGGUUACUUCCGGCUAAUGAUGAAGCCAUGGAUUUCUUCAAUACUUUGACACUAGGAAACCUCUCUCGACCCCUCGGCGAUCCUCGACCCCUCGAACCCUCGACGACCCUGGAACCCUCGACCCCUAGACGACCCUGGAACCCUCGACCCUCGACCCUAUAGAACCCUCGAACCCUCGACCCUUGACCCCUUAACGACCCUCGACCCUCUACCCUAGUUCCCGACCCUCGACCCCUCGGCGAUCCUCGACACCCUCAUUCCCGAUAAAAAUUAAGAAGAAGAAGAAGAAGAAGAAGAAGAAGAAGAAGAAGAAGAAGAAGAAGAAGAAGAAGAAUAAGAAAAAAGAGGAGAAGAAGAAAGGAAUAGCUAGAGGAGAAGAUCGAAGAAAAAAAAGAAGAAAAAAAAGAGGAGAAGAAGAAAGGAAUAGUGGAGAAGAAGAGAAAAUAGAAUAUAUUCUAUUUUCUCUUCUUCUCCACUAUUCCUUUCUUCUUUUCCUCUUCUUUUUCUUCUUUUUUCUUCUUAUUAUUUAUUUCUCCUCUUCUUCCUCUCCUCUUCUUCCUCUCCUCUUCUUCUUCUUAUUUAGUUCUCUCGACCCCUCGUCCCUCUCUCGACCCCUCGACGACCCUCGUCUCUGAUAACAUUUUUUUUCUCCCCUCGACACCUCUCGACCUCUCGUCCCACUCUCGACCCCUCAUCAUCAUCUAUCACCCCCCUCGUUUUCUUUAGCAUAUAUCCAUGAACAAAAUAAUAAUUCAUAUAUAGAAAAAAUGCUAUAUGAACAUACAUACAUAUGAGCAUAUACAGAGAGCAUAUACAUAGCCAAAUCCAUAUACAGAGAGCAUAUACAUACAUACAUACAUAUGAGCAUAUACAUACAUACAUAGCCAUACAUAUGAGCCUCUCGGCGGUGAUGGUCAGAGCAACAGGGAUCGAUGGGAAGGGGGGAGCUCACUGGGGGCGCGACGGGGAGGAGGCCGGGGACGGGGAGGAGGCCGGCGACGGCGCGAGGGAGGCCGGCGACGUGGCGCGAGGCGACGAGGAGGGGGCCGGAGAUGGCGCAUGCAGCGACGAGGAGGAGGCCGGCGACGGCGCAAGCAGCGACGGGGACAAGGCCUGCGGCGGCGCGGGGCGACGGCGACGGGGAGCGGGCAACGACGGGCUCGGGGCGGCGACGACGACGACGAACGGCCUGGGGGCGUCGGGGGCGAAUGGGAGCGGUUGGCGAAAUUUUCACAAGUGCUACCUUAUAUACCCAGAGCAAUGGUCCCGGUUCGUGGCACGAACCGUGACCAAUGCCCCCCUUUGGUCCCAAAUGCCAAUUUUCAGCAGCCCAAAGGGCGGGAAGCGGCGGCCUUUGGUCCCGGUUGGUGGCACCAACCGGGACCAAUGGCCUUGUGCUGCCCCCCGCCCAAAAGUUUAGUCCCACCUCGCUAGUUGAGAGGGCUCGGGAGUGGUUUAUAAGCGCUGCUGUGCCCACCCUCUCGAGCUCCUCUCAACUUCAGGCUUUCGGGCCUAAUCUGUCACUGCAAUGCCUGUGGGCCUACUGGGCCCGCUGCGGGCCUGAAUCCUGGCCCAUGGUAGGGUUUCUAGUCGUAUUCAGGCCGUGGUGGCCCAGUAAGUGGCAUUUUUUUUUGUUUUUUUGUUGCUUUAUUUAUUUUCUUUUGUUUUUUGCUUUAUUUUUUAACUCUUUAUGCUUUUAGUUUUAGAAAAAUUAUAAACUUUUUGUUAAUGCCAUUAGUUUUCAAAUUUGAAAAUAUUUUUUUUAGUUUUUUAGUUUUCUUUGUUGAUUUAUUUAUUUUAUUUUGUGAUUAACUUUACUAUAAAAAUAGUUUUUUUCCUGUUUUUUGAUUUUUUUUGCAUUAUUUUUUUAAUUUUUUUUGNNNNNNNNNNNNNNNNNNNNNNNNNNNNNNNNNNNNNNNNNNNNNNNNNNNNNNNNNNNNNNNNNNNNNNNNNNNNNNNNNNNNNNNNNNNNNNNNNNNNNNNNNNNNNNNNNNNNNNNNNNNNNNNNNNNNNNNNNNNNNNNNNNNNNNNNNNNNNNNNNNNNNNNNNNNNNNNNNNNNNNNNNNNNNNNNNNNNNNNNNNNNNNNNNNNNNNNNNNNNNNNNNNNNNNNNNNNNNNNNNNNNNNNNNNNNNNNNNNNNNNNNNNNNNNNNNNNNNNNNNNNNNNNNNNNNNNNNNNNNNNNNNNNNNNNNNNAUUAGUUUUCAAAUUUGAAAACACUUUUUUAGUUUUUUUCUUUUCUUUGUUGCUUUAUUUAUUUUAUUUUGUGAUUAACUUUACUAUAAAAAUAGUUUUUUCCUGUUUUUUUGAUUUGUUUUUUGCAUUAUUUAUUUUCUUUUGUUUUUUGCUUUAAUUUUUAAUUCUGUUUGCUUUUAGGUUAGCAAAAUUAUAAACUUUCUGUUAGUGCCGUUAGUUUUAGAAAAAACUAUAAACUUUCUGUUAGUGCCAUUAGUUUUCAAAUUUGAAUAGUUAAAAUUUGAAUUCUUUGAAAAUUGUUUGAAUCACAAGUUUGUGAUUAACUUACUAAAAAAUGACAAUAGAUGAAAGUUGAAAGUUUCUGUUAGUGCCAUUAGUUUUAGAAAGUUGAAAGUUGAAAGUUGGCAUGGGCCAGGGACUAAUGGUCAUGGUAUUACGAGGGCCGAACCAUAAGACAUGAAAGCAUUUUAAAUGAACUCUGAAAAAGUUGAAAGUUGGGAUGGUAUCAUAAUUUCACCCACAUAGCAUGUGCAUGUACAAAACAGACAAUGGUAACAUGUUCGUGUGUUACAAAGUUGCGGGAGAAAGUCUUCACUUUUUCUUCACUUGUGUCAUUUGCUUAUUGUGCCAUAACCAUGGAUAAUCUUCAUUGUUUAUCAGGAUGCUUGGGUCAGCCUUGACAUUGAAGGGAGGAAUUUCAUGAAACUUUUCAUAAUCUUCAGACAUGUCUGUCUUGCCGUCCACUCCCAGGAUGUCCCUUUUUCCUGAAAGAACUAUGUGGUGCUUUGGCUCAUCGUAUGAUGUAUUCGCUUCCUUAUCUUUUCUUUUUCUCGGUUUGGUAGACAUGUCCUUCACAUAGAUAACCUAUGCCACAUCAUUGGCUAGGACGAAUGGUUCGUCAGUGUACCCAAGACUUUUCAGAUCCAUUGUUGUCAUUCCAUACUGUGGGUCUACCUGUACCCCGCCGCCUAACAGAUUGACCCAUUUGCACUUAAACAAAGGGACCUUAAAAUCAGGUCCGUAGUCAAGUUCUCACAUGUCCACUAUGUAACCAUAAUAUGUAUCCUUUCCGCUCUCGGUUGCUGCAUCAAAGCGGACACCGCUGUUUUGGUUGAUGCUCUUUUGAUCUUGGGCGAUCGUGUAAAAUGUAUUCCCAUUUAUCUCGUAUCCUUUGUAAGUCAAUACAGUCAAAGAUGGUCCCCUGGACAACAAGUACAACUCAUCACAAACAGUGUUGUCACCUCUGAGACGUGUUUCCAACCAACUGCUGAAAGUCCUGAUGUGUUCACAUGUAAUCCAGUCGUCGCACUGCUCCGGGUGUUUGGAGCGCAGACUGUUCUUGUGUUCAUCGACAUACGGGGUCACCAAGGUAGAGUUCUGUAGAACUGUGUAGUGUGCUUGAGACCAAGAAUAUCCGUCCCUGCAUAUUAUUGAGUCUCUUCCAAGAGUGCCUUUUCCAGUCAGUCUCCCCUCAUACCGCGAUUUAGGGAGACCUAUCUUGUUAAGGCCAGGAAUGAAGUCAACACAAAACCCGAUAACAUCCUCUGUUUGAUGGCCCAUGAAGAUGCUUCCUUCUGGCCUAGCGCGAUUACAGACAUAUUUCUUUAGGACUCCCAUGAACCUCUCAAAGGGGAACAUAUUGUGUAGAAAUACGGGCCCCAGGAUGACAAUCUCGUCGACUAGAUGAAUUAGGACGUGCGUCAUGAUAUUGAAGAAGGAUGGUGGGAACACCAGCUCGAAACUGACAAGACAUUGCGCCACAUCACUCCUUAGCCUUGGUACGAUUUCUGGAUCGAUCACCUUCUGAGAGAUUGCAUUGAGGAAUGCACAUAGCUUCACAAUGGCUAAUCGGACGUUUUCCGGUAGAAGCCCCCUCAAUGCAAUCGGAAGCAGUUGCGUCAUAAUCACGUGGCAGUCAUGAGACUUUAGGUUUUGAAACUUUUUCUCUGGCAUAUUUAUUAUUCCCUUUAUAUUCGACGAGAAGCCAGUCGUGACCUUCAUACUGAGCAGGCAUUCAAAGAAGAUUUCUUUCUCUUCUUUCGUAAGAGCGUAGCUGGCAGGACCUUUAUACUGCUCCGGAGGCAUGCCGUCUUUUUUGUGCAAAUGUUGCAGGUCCUCCCGUGCCUCAGGUGUAUCUUUUGUCUUCCCAUACACGCCCAAGAAGCCUAGCAGGUUCACGCAAAGGUUCUUCGUCACGUGCAUCACGUCGAUUGAGGAGCGGACCUCUAGGUCUUUCCAGUAGGGUAGGUACCAAAAUAUAGAUUCCUUCUUCCACAUGGGUGCGUGUCCCUCAGCGUCAUUCGGAACAGCUAGUCCACCGGGACCCUUUCCAAAGAUUACGUAGUGUAAAUUAUUGACCAUAGCAAGCACGUGAUCACCGGUGCGCAUGGCGGGCUUCUUCCGGUGAUCUGCCUCGCCUUUGAAAUGCUUGCCUUUCUUUCGACAUUGAUGGUUGAUCGGAAGAAAUCGACGAUGGCCCAGGUACACAUUCUUCCUGCAUUUGUCCAGGUAUAUACUUUCAGUGUCAUCUAAACAGUGCGUGCAUGCGUGGUAUCCUUUGUUUGUCUGUCCUGAAAGGUUACUGAGAGCGGGCCAACCGUUGAUGGUCACGAACAGCAACGCCUUAAGGUUAAAUUCCUCCUGUCUGUGCUCAUCCCACGUACGUACACUGUUUUCAUUCCACAGCUGUAAAAGUUCUUCAACUAAUGGCCUUAGGUACACAUCAAUUUCGUUGCCGGGUUGCUUAGGGCCUUGGAUGAGAACUGGCAUCAUAAUGAACUUCCGCUUCAUGCACAUCCAAGGAGGAAGGUUAUACAUACAUAGAGUCACGGGCCAGGUGCUGUGAUUGCUGCUCUGCUCCCUGAAAGGAUUAAUGCCAUCCGCGCUUAAAGCAAACCAUACAUUCCUUGGGUCCUUUGCAAACUCAUCCCAGUACUUUCUCUCGAAUUUUCUCCACUGCGACCCGUCAGCGGGUGCUCUCAACUUCCCAUCUUUCUUUCGGUUCUCACUGUGCCAUCGCAUCAACUUGGCACGCUCUUCGUUUUUGAACAGACGUUUCAACCGUGGUAUUAUAGGAGCAUACCACAUCACCUUCGCAGGAACCCUCUUCUUGGGGGGCUCGCCGUCAACAUCACCAGGGUCAUCUCGUCUGAUCUUAUACCGCAAUGCACUGCAUACCGGGCAUGCGUUCAGAUCCUUGUAUGCAUCGUGGUAGAGGAUGCAGUCAUUAGGGCAUGCAUGUAUCUUAUCCACCUCCAAUCCUAGAGGGCAUACGACCUUCUUUGCUGCGUAUGUACUGUCAGGCAAUUCGUUAUCCUUUGAAAGCUUCUUCUUCAAUAUUUUUAGUAGCUUCUCAAAUCCUUUGUCAGCCACAGCAUUCUCUGCCUUCCACUGCAGCAAUUCCAGUAUGGUACCGAGCUUUGUGUUGCCAUCUUCGCAAUUGGGGUAUAACCCUUUUUUAUGAUCCUCUAACAUGCGAUCGAACUUCAGCUUCUCCUUUUGACUAAUGCAUUGCGUCCUUGCAUCGACAAUGACCCGGCGGAGAUCAUCAUCAUCGGGCACAUCGUCUGGUUCCUCUUGAUCUUCAGCAGCUUCACCCGUUGCAGCAUCAUUGGGCACAUCGCCUGGUUCCUCUUGAUCUUCACCAGCUCCCCCCGUUGCAGCAUCACCGUAUUCAGGGGGCACGUAGUUGUCAUCGUAGUCUUCUUCUUCGCCGUCUUCCAUCAUAACCCCUAUUUCUCCGUGCCUCGUCCAAACAUUAUAGUGUGGCAUGAAACCCUUGUAAAGCAGGUGGGAGUGAAGGAUUUUCCGGUUAGAGUAAGACCUCAUAUUCCCACAUUCAGUGCAUGGACACCACAUAAAACCAUUCUGCUUGUUUGCCUUAGCCGCAUCGAGAAACUCAUGCACGCCCUUAAUGUACUCGCGGGUGUGUCUGUCACCGUACAUCCAUUGCCGGUUCAUCUGCGUGCAUUAUAUAUAAUUAAGUGUCCAAAUUAAUAGAAGUUCAUCAUCAUAUUAAAACCAAAGUGCAUACAUAGUUCUCAUCUAACAACAUAUAGCUCUCCAGAGCAUCUAAUUAAUUAAACCAUACAUUGAAACUAUGUAAAACAUUUCAAUGCGAAAACAAAUGCGAUCAUAAUCGCAACCAAGGUAACAAUUGAUCCAACGGCAUAAUGAUACCAAGCCUCGGUAUGAAUGGCAUAUUUUCUAAUCUUUCUAAUCUUCAAGCGCAUUGCAUCCAUCUUGAUCUUGUGAUCAUCGACGACAUCCGCAACAUGCAACUCCAAUAUCAUCUUCUCCUUCUCAAUUUUUUUUAUUUUUUCCUUCAACAAAUUGUUUUCUUCUUCAACUAAAUUUAACCUCUCGACAAUAGGGUCGGUUGGCAUUUCCGAUUCACAUACAUCCUAGAUAAAUAAAAUCUAUGUCAUGUUGGUCGGCAUAAUUUUCAUAAACAAUAAAUGAACCAAUAGUUAUAAUGAUAAUAUACAUACCACAUCCGAAUCAUAGACAGGACGAGGGUCGACGGGGGCGGAUACCAAAACCAUCACACUAUAUAAGAUGCAAUAAUAAAUGUAAGAAAAUGAUACAAGUAUCUAUCUAAACAUACAAGUAAGAAUAUUUUUCCUUUCAGAAAGAAGAUAAGAAUAAGAGGCUCACCACGGUGGUGUCGGUGAUGAGAUCGGCGCGGGUGAUCGACGGCGGUGAAGAUGGGGACGGGGCGUGACGGACCGCUAAAUCUAGACAAAUCUCGAGGAAAAUGGAGCUUGGAGGUCGAGCUUCGAGAGGAGAAAACUUAAGUAGUGUGGCUCGGACAUUCCAUCGAACACCUCAUGUGCAUAGGAGGUGAGCUAGAGCACCACAAAGCCCUCUCCCCCUCGGCCAGAAAAAACAGAGCACCGUGCUCUGCUCUUGCGCGAGGGGGUAUAUAUAGGCACCUUAUUGGUCCCGGUUGGUGACAUGAGCUGGGACUAAAGGGAUCAAUGGUGAUGGGCCAGGAGCGAGGCCCAUUGGUCCCGGUUCAUCCCAUCAACCGGGACCAAAAGGUCCAGAUGAACCGGGACCAAUGGCCCACGUGGCCCGGCCGGCCCCCUGGGCUCACGAACCGGGACCAAUGUCCACAUUGGUCCCGGUUCUAGACUGAACCGAGACUAAUGGGCUGACCCGGCCUGGACCAAAGCCCUGUUUUCUACUAGUGCGCACCCAUGGCCCUAAGGUCACUGGAGACGUGGGGGAUCGGCGGCGCCGCCGCCGGGAGGCAGGAAACCCUAGACGCCUUUCCUUGGAGGAGAGACAAAGGGAGGAAGGAACACAAAUGUGACUAAUGUGUAUGUUGUGAUCUAACAUGAGAAAAUGGAUCUGGAUGUCAAGGAAUUGGUUAACCGGCAAGCAAAGUCAGCAUAAAAUCAGGGCCGGUCCUGAGGGGGGGCAGGAGGGGUGGCCGCCCCGGGUCCCCAUGCCUAGUAGUAUGCACAUGGCUGGUACGUAGCCCAUGGCCUAAUUUUUGGUUGCUGCGACGUACGAUUGUCAGCCUAUGGGGAAUCGCAUAGUCGAAGGGCACACGUUCCGGGAGCCUGGGAGCAAUCUACGGUCGUCCUCUCAUCUUCUUUCGCUCGUUUCCAAAGAUUUUCCUUCGCUCGUGGCCUAUCGAUACAACUACGCGACUAUGAUCUACCUGUACGCGACGAAAGCGGCAACCGGCAGCGGCUACGGUGCAGAGGUCGGAGAGUGACGGCCAACCGCGAGAGAUUGCUCCGGCUUCGCGGCUCUUUGUGUGAUACUGUGAUCUGAUCGCUUCUCUAAUGCUCCGCCUAGGACUCUAGGGGCCUCCUUCUUGGAUCCAACCAGAACCAGGGCAUCAACUGAUCAGCAGUUAACCACUUCUUGUCUUGCCGGCUGGAACCUCUGUACGUACACGGUAAUACCAUUAAUCACUAAUUCGUUAUCUAUAUAGGUUAAUUUAUAUUAAGAUAUUUCAUUAUAAUUAGUUUGUCGCUCUUGUGCAUUUAUUUGGAUUUCAGAACUAUCAAAAAGGAUUUGUGGAUGAGUUGAUAAAAUCAUGAAAAGGAGUCAUUGAUAUUAUUUUGGAGAAUACCACUGAUGCUUGGACGAAUAUAGAGUUUGCGACAGUAGGUAUGGAUGGGCCGGCUAAUGGAAUACAGGGAGAAAAUGUGAAUGUAAGUGACCCUGAGAACACUCUUAAUGCAUUGGAUGCACGGCACAUUCCACUAGUUAAUUUUAGGUUAACUUUGCAUCAUAUGUUGCUUUGCAUUAGGAAUAUUAAGGUAAUAUGUACAUGUUAUGUGAUAUAAAUAUUACUUUUAGAUGCAUCCAAGUGUUAAUUGGUAACAGUCCCAUAUAUAACAGAAAUAACAAAUGCAUCUCAGGUCCCAUUGCACCCGAAUUGAAUUUAUUAUUUUAAAAGUAAUGUAAUAAAGAGUUAAAAAGAUGAAACUUUCUUUUAACAAAGAUGACUUCUCAUAAUACUCACAUGAAAACUUUCAUGAAUGAAUGUGGGCUUGCAAUUUUUUUUGCCGAGAAUACCAUGAGAGUCAUUCCUGCCAGAACCUUUUCACAUGAGUAUUACGCUAGGCCAUGUUAGUUACAAAAAAGUUUCAAUUUUUUGGUACCCCUUUAGUUUUUUUUAUAGUUUUUUUUCCAAUUUAGGUGCAUUUGGCAUAUGUUUCAAAGAACCGCAGCCUAUAUAAAAUGAUGGUUGUUGUUAUGGUGUUUGUAUUAAGGGCCCUAAGUUUUAGUUUCGCCCCGGGCCCCCGAAAUCUCAGGACUGAUCCUACAUAAAAUAGACGAUUUUACCUUUACAAUGAAGGGGUAUGUUUUUGGGCUUGUUUGUAUCAUUUUCCGGAGACGCCCUGCCAAAAAAUUGGCCGUGACCCAUCCUUGGCUGCUCAUUUGAAUGAAGACCAAAUAAUCAGUGCGCCCACAACUCUGGCAGCCCCGGUACAUUUACUAGCUAUCUUUUUGGCAAGUCGUGGGUGGUAAAAUCCGGCACCAAUUAUUUGACGAGUCCACAAAUGGCAGGCCGACACUUUCACAAACCAAAUAGCUUGUUAAGCUUAACUGUUGAGGCCGAACUCACUAUUCUGACCUUUUCAGUAAUCUUUGCCACAAAAUGAACUCGACAUGAAAGUAUUUCAUGAUCUGACCCUUUUAGCAACGCCACAGCCCGUGACAUUUCUUCUUUAUAUAGAAACGCUGAGCUAGCUAGCGUUUCAAAUCCACAUUCAAACGCUGGAGUAGCUAGCAUUUCCAAUCCACAUAGAAACGCCAAGCAAGUGGGCGUUGCUGCCCUGGCCAGAAACGCCAUAGGGCUUGGCGUUUAGGCUCUGGGUUUAGGAGCAGUUUUUUACUUUGGCGACGGGGCAGCGAAUGGACUGGGUGCCAGUGCAGAAACGCCAAAGCCCUUGGCGUUGCUUACCUGGUCCGCAACACGAGAAACCUCGGCGUUUCUCCUUUGGGCAGGAACGCUAGCUAGCUCGGCGUUUCUCCUUUGGGCAGGAACGCUAGCUAGCUCGGCGUUUAUAUUUGGGGAAGAAACGCCACGGGCUCUGGCGUUGCUAAAAGGGCCAGAUCGUGAAAUACUUUCAUGUUGAGUUCACUUUGUGACAAAGUUUGUUAAUAGGGUCAGAAUAGUGAUUUCGUCCAACUGUUGAUUGCUCAUGGAGAGUUUCCAAAGAGGCCCAUCUCUAGCGGUGUUUCUUGUUGACCCACUUGAGAUUUCUGACAAGUGAAGGGCCAUUUUGUACUAGUGGAUUGGAUCAAAGAAAAAUGUGGUGUGUCCUAAAAUGCUUUGCCUUUACUACAUCCUCUCAAGCAUCAUGUAUAAACUACAAUUCAAAACAUUUUACUGUAACAUAUUUUCAAAUAUUGGAUAUGGUAAUGUAAAUUAAAGUUAAUUAAAAGUUGAGAUGUUCUAGAAAUACUUGAUUACAAUCUAGGGUUAAUUUCUGUCUUUUUUCUCACCCUUAAUAUUCAAAUUAAUUAUGGUGUAUGUGCCAAAGAAAAUAUAUAUGGUCAUAAUUUCUUGCCCAUUGAUUCAAGAGACGACGUGGCUGUUGAAGCAAUGCAUCUGUUCAUGUUAACGUUUGUAUUCACCGAGGGACACGUAUGCACAAAGCGACACCCCGAGGCCUAUAAAGGUUCAACAAUUCAGUCAUUUGGUGCUCACUCCCGGAUGCACGGCUGCAGUCACAUAGACGCUCACAUAAUUGUUUUGCGGUGUAGGAGAACGUUCACAUUGGGACGAGAGGACUCAGGUGCACACACAUAACAUAUGUAGUGACGGUUAGUUCUUCGCCCAUUGGGGGAACAAUUGAAGUGAAGAGGUAUAGGGGAGAGAAAACACUAUUAAGUAUACUCUAUAUGGUCGAUCUUGAAGAUUCCACACGAAUUAUGGAGAUGUCAAGGUACGUAAAUCAGAGAGAUUAAAGGGUUGAAUCGAAUCUGCUGAAGUUUACACAUUAUUGUUUUUCUUAAAUUUACAUGUUAAAAAUCAUGAUACUGAUUACAAGAGAUAGGUUCCUACCAUUAUAUCAAUAAGUUAUUUCUAUACAUUUUUGCAGUAAUUUUACUUUUGUUACAAAUUUACAAAUAGUUUUAGUUUGGGCCAACUUAUUAGCAUGACAUGAAGUGAGGAUUUCACUGAAAAUUAUGCGAAUAAAGGGUCUUAGUAACAUUUCUGAAAAAUUACGAGAAAUACAUAAAUGUUACUUCAGUGCAUUUUUGCAUGUUCACCACGUUGUUGGCCUUCUAAAAUGACGACCUACCACAUACCUCUAGAAAACCAUUGAAUCUCAUCAGAGGACACCAAUUUCUCGAUCGUCAAGUAUGGUGUAUCGUUCUAUUAUAUUCUAAUGCAGUCUUUCUAGAAGAUAAGAUUUGAUCUUCCAUGUCAUUAAUUCAUGCACUCUAUAUAUGAGCAUGCAUGAUAUGUGGUCAGCAUGUAAAAUGUAUUGGGGGAUGCUAUUUCACGCACGAGCAUUACAGCGCUCGAUGUCCUUAUAAGCUUUUAGAUGAUGUAUGACAUGAGCAUUAAUCGAUGAAAUACUGAGGAAAUAAUUUAAUAUUUCGCACGUGAAAUCAGUAUAUUGUGUCUCGCUAAAUGUGGCGAGUAUUAGAAUCUUUGAGUAUUACAAUCUUUCAUCAAUAUACUCACUAAAUGUGGCACAUAUUAAAAUAUUUCUUCAAUCAAUCUUAAUGUCAACGUAAUAAAAACCUUAAACACGUUUUGAAUGCUGACCACAUAUUUCAUUCGCGCACAUAGAAAAUGGGUGCAUGAAUUAAUGGCAUAAAAGACCAAUCCUAUCUUUCACAAAUACUGCAUUUAUAUAGAAGAUAUGGAUUAUUUUCUUAUAUCUUCACAAUGCCGACAAAUUUAAUUGCAGGGAGAUAUUGUGUUGUGUGAGUAGUAAUAUAAACACAAAGUUAAUUGCCAAAAGACUGCAUUUGUAAUGGAUUGACAUUUUAAUUGUGAUAUCUUCACAGUGCACAAACCAUUAAAUUGCAAGGAAGUAUUGCCGACUAGUAAGGUACAUGCCGCUAAAAAUAUAUUAAUAAUAUCGAUACAUCUUGAUAGACUCUCCACCACAUAAUGUGCUAUAAAAGGGAUUCAAAGGAACUCAUCUGGAAUACAAAACAAAAAGUCGAUCUUGAACACUUCUACUCUUAAGCAGCUUGCUAUACAAGAGCUAGUGUAAAAACGGGGAGUACUAAAAUGGGGAUUACCAAUUCCAUGGACGUCCUCUUGGUCUUUGCAGUCCUGUUGCUCAAUGCUGAUGUCGGGUCGUGCGGCUGCUUCAAGCGCAUCUUUGCCUUUGGUGACUCCAUCAUUGGCACCGGCAACUUCCGGACAGGUUCGAUGUGGAUGCCCCCUUAUGGAGGGACCUACUUCCACCACCCCACUGGCCGCUGCUCCGACGGGCGUCUAAUCGUCGACUUCUACGGUGAGUGCAUGUUCGCACGCAGGUGUACUCUCGUGCUUGAUUUCUAAAUUUGGUGUGUGUGUGUAUCAGCGCAAGCGUUUGGCCUGCCCCUGCUGCCGCCGAGCGAGCCCGAGGAGAAGACAGGGCAGUUCCCUGCCGGUGCCAACUUCGCCGUGUGGGGCUCGUUUGCGCUGAGCCCAGACUACUACCGGAAAAGGUAUAACUUAAGUACGGACCACGGUUGCCUCGACUCGCAGCUCGGUUCCUUCAAGACAGUGCUCGCACGGAUAGCUCCUGGAAAAGGUAAGUACUCAUGUAAUAAAAUAUAUGUGCAUACAUGCAUGGAUGGUCUUUACCAUAUUAUUACAUAUUUUUUCUUGCAUUAGUCAGCUAAUUCCUUUUUGUUUGUGUGAUCAGCUGCCACCAAGAGACUCCUCAGCGAGUCCCUUGUCAUCUUUGGCGAGAUCGGCGGCAACGACUAUAACUCCUGGUUCUUUGAUCCUCGGCGCAGCAGGGACACGCCCCAUCAGUACAUGCCUGACGUGAUAGCCCGCAUAGGUGCCGGCGUCCAGGAUGUGAUUAACCUCGGCGCAAAGACGAUCCUUGUUCCGGGGAACUUCCCCAUCGGGUGCAUUCCGGUUUACUUGAAUGAUCACAAGAGCAACAGGUCUUCGGAUUACGACCAGUUCGGCUGCCUCAAGUGGUACAACGCGUUCUCCCGGAAGCACAACCAGCUAUUGAGGCAGGAGGUCGGCCGGCUCAAGUCUCGCAACCCCAGCGUGAAGAUCAUCUACGCAGACUACUAUGGCGCCGCCAUGGAGUUUGUCAGGAACCCCAAGAGGAAUGGUGUCGACGACCCUCUGGUGGCGUGUUGUGGUGGCAACAGCCCAUACGGCACCGGUCGCGGGUGCGACCAGAACGCGAAGGUUUGCCGUGACCCGUCCAGGUUCGCCAACUGGGACCAGGUUCACAUGACGGAGAAGGCGUAUAGUGUCAUCUCCAAUGGGGUGCUCAACGGCCCGUAUGCGGACAUCCCAUUGCUCCAUGCUUGCUAGGAGAAUUUCCUUUCGAUACUUGAAGAAAUGCUUGCGGCAACAAAGAUCUGUUACGUGCUAGCUUCUUGGAAUUUUUAAUCUUGUAUCACCAUCUCAAUUAGUCAUGAACUAGUCAUCAACCAGUGCAUUUGCACGGGUUUGUUGUAUCUCUAUUUUGUUACAUCCAUUAUGAAGAACACCAGUGGAACUUGCUUUAGGAAAGAGACGUUACAUUACACGUUUCCAUGGAUCUAUCGAUAAAAGUUAUGAAAUCUUGUUUAUUACUUUAACUGCAACACACAGGGAGGGAGAUGCACUCGAUAUCAUGUUCGCUGAUUGAUGUUUUGGGAUCCGGGAAAUGGGACAUAAGGUGUCAGGUCUGGUGCUUGGAGAAAUCGUGUACGGGGGAAUACAUGCACGAACUGUGCGAUACGGCGGGGCCAGUUCGUAGCGAAGAGGUAGGCAUGAGUCAAGGUUAGACGGCGCCGUCCCGUGUUGGAUUCUGAUCCAUGGCUCGGUAUUAUCUAGUCUCAUCGGGACCGUGGCCAGACGGGAGUUCUAUCAGGGAAAUCUUUGCUGGUUCGCGAUGUCCUCUGGAGUUUGAGUGACUUGGCAAGGCAAGCGCUUGGAUGCGGUGGAUUCUCUCGGAGGAUUGAUUCUUUGGGCGUAAACAUCCUGGAGGUUGAAGAAGGCUCUGGACUAGAAUCGCAACAAUGCGAUGGAGGUCACCAGCUCGUCCCCACAGAAAGUCAUGAAAACUGGGGGAGGAACUCCUCGUUCUGGACAUCGGUGGACGACGAACACAGACGUAUUUUGGGGGAGCACAUCUGUAUUCACUGGUGAGGAAAAUAUUAAGGCAUGCUGAUACGCAUGCAAAUAGGAUGCGAAGGGAACAAGACAUAGGUCUCCGAUCUAGCCACGACAGCAUCACCGGGAAACCUGCAUCGCCGCCGUCGCUGACGCCGAAACAGGAACCAACGAGCUUGAACACCCUGGCCGGAGAGAGUGCUGUGGGCCACUUUCUAUUCCAGGAAUGAUGCGAAGCAGAUAUACAUCGGAUAAUACAUCAUAUAUUGCACAUCUCGAGGUGAAUUGACGCCAUGGAUUUCUGGGACAUCUGAGACUGGGCACCGUUUCGUUUCCUCUAUUUCCUACCUUGCUCGCCCUCCUCCUUCCUCUGUUUCUUCACCCCUCAUCCCCUCUUGCACGCCGCACCACCACCACCAUGAUACGCCAUGCCUAUUCUUUCGGUAGGUUUGCAUCGGGUUCCACAGCUUGACGAGCAUGUCGUGCAGUAUACAGGUUCGUAAUUGGAGAUGUAUUUUGUUUGCACCAAGCACCAUCUUAUCUCUACUACAGAUGUGCUAUAAUCAAAGAAAACAGAUCUUGGCGGGAAACUCAAAUUGCAUCUUCCUCGGAUGUAUUACUAGUAGUGUAAUAAUAAGGUUAGCCUACCCUUGAUAUGAUAAGACUAUGCAUGAUACAUACUCUUGUGUCCCAAAAAAUUAUUAUUCAUCUUGUGGUUGCAUUUCCAUUAGUAUUCUACUAGUCGUCAACCCGUGCAAUCGCACGGGCUAGCAAAUUUAUUAUUUGAGAUACUAUUUUGUAAAAAAAUCAAAAUGUCAAACAAUAAUAUGAAUAUGUGAUGUAGAUUAUUAUUAUAACACAUGCAUGUGUACCUUGGUUGGACAUAGGGUGUAACGAAGCUACAUUGCUUUGACAUUUCUGUGAUUAGAAUGUUUACAUCCAAUAAUAUGAAUAUUGUGAUGUUGAUUAUUAUAAUAACACAUGCACGUGUACCUUGGUCGGACAUAGGAUCAAGCAGAGGUACAUUGCUUCGACUAUUUUAGCAUAUAUCUUCCUUUCUUAUACCCUACGAAAAAUAUAGACAUCUACCGUUUGGUAAUGGAAGCACCAUAGAAUUAUAGAGUAUGUUUCUAUAUACACAAUAAUGGACACAUGCAUGCACGGCUUUCUGUCAACAGACCUGAUAUCAUAUCAAAUAAUAUACAUAUUGAAAUAUAGAUUGUUGUAUAUUCUCAUUAUAUCAUAUAUUAUUAAGAUUAGACGUUCAUGCCUCAACCAACAAUUUCUUUUAUGACUCACAUGGAUUGAUUUUUUAUAUUCGCCAUCAAUAUUUCACAUAGACAAUGAUGUGCUUACAUGAAUCAUUGUGGCGCAUGAUACAUCCAGUUUAUUCUACAAUAGUAAUAUAUAUGAUGUUUUAAUUACUAACUUUUUCUUUGUUAUAAUCACAAAAAUAGAUAUUCAUAGACAUAGUAUAUAUGCAAAUACGUAUUAGCAAUCUGCAUCUCUAAAGAAGCAUACACGAACCGCAUGCACAUUAGGCAAAGCAGUUUAUCUGUGGACAAAUAGGAUUAAGGAACGGAAUUGGCCGAGUUUGAGUUGCUCUCCAUUGGUGAACCAUCGACGCACCUCCUAUAGAACAUCGUCCAUUGUGACUGGGCAUGGAAACUGAGAAUAUUGAAAGAAUCUCCAGUCAAAUAUGAAUUCACAAAUUAAAUUCCUUAAACCACGAAAAAAAGUUUCUUAAAAAAUCUGUAGUGCUCUCCUAUCCGAUCAAACCUCUACCACUUUCUAUGUGUACAUUCUUUGUUUCUAUAUGCACAUAAAAGAUCCAGACAAUGCAAUAUCUGAUUGGUGAAUUAAUCAUGUUUGUUGUUACAGGAGAACACCCUUAUUUUUUCUUGAAACCAUGUUUUAAUGGCCGUACACGGCGAACCAUCCUGUGAUUGGAUGGUUAGGGGACAGUGUGAUGCCCGACCCACCAAAAUUCAUGUCUUAGCCUUGACAUUGGUGCUCGCAUUUUUCUGGAUUUUUUCGGACCUUCGGGAGAUGUCCGUUCAAUGGGAGGAGACAUUCCGGUCGACAACGUAGGUGUCUGUAGGGAUUACGUUAAUCUCAAGAUGAUAUGCCGGCUUAGUUUAUAGGAGGUGCUCAUAGGGGUUGGGUGUGCGUGUGUGCGUUCAUAGGAGGAUGAGUAUAUGCUCGUGUAUGUGAACGACUUUUAUUGUGCUAUGCUAAAAAAAUGGACGUACAUAUUGCUUUUUUUUGCAUGGGACCUUGUAUUGUUUUUGUACACAUGCCUUUAUGCAUGGACAUAUUUCUGUGUACACGUAUAAGUAGUACUCUUUGUUCGAUCUUUUUCUUAAACUAGUAAGCAUGCACGUGCACGCACGUAUAACCGUGAGAAAAAAAUCUCAUGUAUAAACAUAUUUUUGCUUGUAUUACGUAGUACAUGGAUUAUGCAAAAAGGAAGUUAAGUACUUUUGGGGAAUGGAGAGAAGGGAUUCCAGCAUGAUAUAGUAAUGCUAACAAAUAUGGUGAAGAAUUACAUUUGUUAUCAACCUGAAACUACAAAAGAAUUGUGGACUAAGAUGGAGCACGUGGACUAACAUGGAGCAGGGCGGCCUAAAACCAAACAUAGUUCUCUGGCAAAAAAAACAUAGUUACCUGCUAGUUGUGGCUUAUUCAUAGAGAUCUUGCACGCCUUCUUAUGAAGAAUGAAGUCAGUAAACAAGUGAAAAUAGAAAAUGUAGGAGUGGUGAUUUUGGAAUAGAUAGUUUUUUUUUUCAUAUUAAGGUCCGGCACAAAAUGUGGUCAGGAAAAUCACCUCAUUCGUGUUUGCUUUGUUUUGCAGACAUGUAAUUCAUCGCAUUCUUAUUUGGUCAGCUUUGCAGACAUGUAACUAAUUCAUGCACAAAUGCCGGUGACAAGGAACACAUGAAACAAAUAAAUAAAUGCAUAUCACCAUAUCACAUAUCAUCUGAAAAUUGCAUUAUCUAAUUGGACUAUAAGAACUGUCUGUAGUGGGCCUAUUGUCAAAAUGACACAUCAGAACCGUCAUCUAAUCUCACGGAACCUAGUAACUUUUUAAAAAGUACAUACGACCAUAGAAUAUAUAAUUUGAAAAUUGUAUUAUUUCAUUUUACUAUAGAAACUGCGAAUAGUGAAUGAUGAACCUUUUAGCAUAAACACCUUUUACUUUUGUUUCAUCAUUCAUAUCCCCAAUUAUAGAAUAUAUAGCUACUGGAUUUAUAAAACUAACAUGACACUCAUCCCCAAUUAUGAUGAUCUGUUAGCAUAAACACCUUUUACUUUUGUUUCAUCAUUCAUAUCCCUCGCAUGAAUGAUGAACCUGCAUAUAUUGCUUUAAGAGCGAUGCUUGGAAAUGAAGGGAACAUGAAAUCUUGAAUAUUGUUGACGACGCCAUGACUCGUUUGAGAAGAUGUGCCAUGGUCAAUCCAGUUCUGGUAUGACUCCAUAGUCCACACUUUUCCCUACGAUCCCAAGUCUGAAACAGACAAAAUAAGGAAUUCAUGGUCCACACCAGCACAUUAGUUUUUACACAGGACUAACUGGAGCUUGUGUCUGAUUCUAUUUGAUUGCUAAAGUAACAUAGCAAAUAAUAUGAAUACAAGAUGAGAAAAAAAAUACCCAAGCUUGCAGUUGUUUACCGUAUAUUGAGGUGCUAGAGAUUACAGUGAAAAUUGUCCAAGAAAAUAGCAUAGAGAGGUUGCUCAAAAUAAAUAGUAUGGCACGAUGGCAUAGAGGAAUGUCACAUAAAAAUAUAGAAAGCCCCGCAGUUCAGUUUCCAUGCUUCUCUAAUACUGAAAGCAAUAGCCAAAUAUCAUUGUAUAGUUCUUUCAGAGUAAUAAAAUGGCGGGCUUGGUUCAAUAUCCAAUCCAAAUGCACGCGUCUGACUCAGAAUUGGUACAUGAUUAGGUAAUUAUGCAUGUAACCUUAGUUGUCCAGAACACAAGGGGCUCAUGCCUAUUAGAAAUGGAAUUGGCAAGAUCGAUGUAGAGCCGCUUACUUGCCAACACAUUCAAAUGUGACAUAAAAAAAUUACAGAAUUCAAUCUUCAUGAAACAAAGCUGCAGACAAUACUGAAACAAGAAAAAUAUCGAGUGGUGAUAGAACUCAAAAUACAAAUAUCUCCAUGAGAGACUCAUCCAUUCUUCACCAUAACUGGAGUUUUCUCAGUUUUUUUUUGUAAUAACUGUUAGAUGCUGAAAAGAUUAUGUCACCCUAGUGUUAAGGCCUCUAGGGCAUUUAUAUUUGGUCUUAGUUAAGUGUAGUCCAAAAUGAUGCCCCAUUGAUGAAUUCAAGAUGAAAUUCUGUUAAUUUAGAAGUCCGAUAAUUCAUAAUAUGCAUAUGUAGGACACAGAUUCAUAUAAUGAAAUGGGGAGUACAAAAAAAUGUAGUUGAUUACUCCACAAAUUAGGUAUAGAGCAGUUACCAUCUCUCGAGUAAAACCAAACCGUAGGAUCGUCAUAAAUGGUUUUCUAAACAAUAAUCUUUUUCUUCACUUCCUCCUCUCUUGACAGCACAUGCUUCAAGAUUUGUUGUGCUUUGCGAAGGAAGACAAACGUGGGUUCGACACCCUGGUCAUUUGCACGGCAUGAUGUCUCUGGAAGCAAAGGAAUGCCAGGGUGUUUAACAGAGCUGAGCAACAGGUGGUUGCACAGGAACUCGCGAAGAAGAUACUUGAUGAACUUAGAGAUUGGAAGAUGGCGGCCCGGGGAGGAGGUAGCUUACAACGCUUUGUGAGAGAUUAGUUUUGGGUUCCUUGUAGGAGUGGUGGUGGGUGUUAGUCUUGGAGUGUUCCGCACUCGCUAGACCUCUUGUAAAUUGUUUUGCUCUCUUCUAUAAAAGUAAGGCACGUGCUUUGAGUGCUCUCGAAAGAAAAGAUUUGUUGUGCUCAUAAUCUCUAGAAAUAUAAAUAUACAAAGAUAAUUAAUAAAUAUUCGUUCAAAACUUGUUUUUUUAAUAUAUGUUUGGGUAAAGGUAGAAAGAGAUAUACAAGGGGAACCUGUUUCUGCUGCUUCUAAAAGUAUCUCUUCUUGUGUCAUACAAUUUUCUUCCCAGUUUCCGCUGCUUCUAAAGACAAUACAAGGUAGAUAUAUAUUCACAUGGAGUACAUGAGCAAACCAUCAGUGAAUCCCUAAUUUACCGUUUAUUUUGUCGUUACAAUUGAAUGAAUUAAUAUGAGAUAACGGAGGAUCACUCUUUUUCUAACCUGUAAUGUUCAAUGCUGUGAGAUGCAAACUAUUGAAGGAAAAUCGAUAGUACCUUUGCUAUUUCUCUUGUUAUGCUUUUCGUUUAUUUGUAUUGUAUAGGAUCCCAUUCGGGGACAUACAAAAAAAUAUCUGAGUACACAUCAUCAUCAUUUUAUUAAAGCAAAAACCAACCCUGCAACUUAAAAAUAACUUUGAAAAAUAUACCUCAAAGUGUGACAGGGAUCUAUUUUCUGAUUCGAUUGAUUCAUCAAUAUCUUCCUUGGCCAGAUCAAAAAGAUCCCUCAAAGAUGCAGCUGAAACCGGUGAUGCGCUCUCGGAUUGUUAAAAGGUGUGGACUGCAUAAAUAUCAGCAACAUACAAUUCCCAUGAUCAUGUCGUCCAAUAGUUACUACCCAAUGGAUUAAAUGAUACACAGAGGUUGGUGAUAUGGUGGAAUACCUGGAAUAGCAGCCGACAGUUUAUGCUUGCUCCCUCAUGAUAUUAGACAGGAACGCGGCAGUUGAACAUUUUCCCUUAGUCCCGGUGAUAUGGACAGCCUACGAACACAAUAACUUGCAGCCAAACACCUUUCUCUUCUUCUGGCAGGCAUUCAUAUAUGUAUCCACAACACCUUUCUCCUGCUCUUCCUACCAGCAAAAAGACAACAAGUACUUGAUCAUAUUUAUGUGCAGUUUGACAUAAAACUGAUUUGCAGCCAAACACCUUUCUCUUCUUCUGGCGGGCAUUCAUAUAUGUAUCCACAACACCUUUCUCAUGCUCUCCCUACCAGUAAAAACACAACAAGGACUUAAUCAUAUUUAUGUCAGUUUGACAUAAAAUCGCUUAGCCAAGUCUGUACUUAUCAUGUGAAGAGGACAUGCGGUGGUAUGCUCUUGCUGACCCGUGGUAGAGCCGUAGAGGACAUGGCAGAGGUGGUCGUGGUGACGGAAGAUGGCGACGACCCUGUGGUAGAGGACAAGCAGGAGGAUGCGAUGCCCGGACAACGAACCCUCCUCAACUUCGCAGGGCUGAGUUGCAGGCAACAACGACUUCCGCGUACUCAGCUGUGCGGAAGAAUGGCGGCGGCAUCUGCAUCCCAGACUGCCCGGGAGAAUUAAGAAUGGGGCAGGCAUGUGUUCAUCACCGGUCGUCGCCGUCGCCGAUCUGGUCGGGAAGAGGGCCGUCACUCGCGAGGGAAGGUCCGACGGAGCCAUGGUGUCCUGCAGUGAGGGAAUGGAGAGAGGGAGAAAGAUUAGUGAGGAGAGGGAGAGAGAAGGGAGGAGGGCUCUGGGCAUGGCUGACCGGCAGAGGAGCUCGGCGGCGGCGAUCGGAGGCAGGGUCGGCUCGGGGCGGAUCGGGGGUGGGGAGCGCACGGCAGGAGCGGCAGCGCAACGUUGUUUCUGCGGAUCUGUUCUCUCGCCGUUCUUCUUGGGGCCUAAAGCCAGGGCCGGGACUCAAUCGGGAGGCACUUUCGCGUGGACCAAACCGAAAAUCAGGGAUUCCUCAAAAAACCCGAAAAUCAAGGAGUUACCGCUGGCCCGCGGGGAUCGGCGGAAGCGGAGCGCUCGCACGAUCGGCAGACGCGUCUGCUGGGCAGAACAAUUAAUCUGAGACAUUGAUUCUGGAUGACAGACUAUUGAUGUAAUAUAGGCGGUAGGAUAUGUUUAAGUCAAUUUGAUCGGAUGGUUCUGCUUAUUCCGUGUACAUUUUGUUGUGUGGCUUUUGACAAACACAUGUUUGCUCUUUUAAUAGUAGUAUAGAUGAUGUAAUAUAGGCGGUAGGAUAUGUUUAAGUCAAUUUGAUCGGAUGGUUCUGCUUAUUCCGUGUACAUUUUGUUGUGUGGCUUUUGACAAACACAUGUUUGCUCUUUUAAUAGUAGUAUAGAUAAACUUAUCACCUUGGACUUAAAUCACGUAUGCACGUAUGUGUAUUCUUUUUGUACACAUGCCUUUAUGCAUGGACAUAUUUCUCUAUACACGUAUGAGUAGUACUCUUUGUUCGAUCUUUUUCUUAAAUAAACUUAUCACCUUGGACUUAAAUCACGUAUGCACGUAUGAGUUGUAGUAUAGACGGACUCUUGAACCUGCGUUUUAACUUAUCAUGUGUUGGACUUGUAUCACGUAUGAUCUUUAGCGUAUCUUUUUUUUUUUUGGCGAAUGACAAAUCGUACCAUACAUGGACUCCCUAAUUUUAGUGUACAGACACAUGCCAAAGCGCUCAUUAUGGACUUGCCUUUUUUAACUUAUCAAUUUUGACUUAAAUCACAUAUUACGUUCAGCAUAUCUUAGUGAGGAAAAAGAAAUCUUCACCUACCAACGUGAAUAUCUUUUUUUGAACCAAUGGAUGCUUUUUUUCUUCACAGGAGAAGAUGUUAUCUUUUCCUUUAUAUUGCUAGAGUUUUUAUGGAAGGAGGAUAUCUUUUUUUACGGAGAGGAUAUUUUGUUAAGGCAACGAUGGAUGUUUUCUUUUUUUUCACAGCAACGUUGAACGUGUCAGGACCCUUUUUUGACCAUUGUGUUAAGUAAGUUUUCUUUUUAUCUCUGGCGUUAAUUAUUUAAUCCAACGGUGUAAUUAAUUUUAUAGAUAUGGAUUAAUGAGAAGGCUUUAAUGGUGCCUCCAAUUAGUAAAUAUAAGAUUGGCAUGAUUUAAUUUACAUUGCGUCAGGUCAUUAUCUCACAUGUCGAUGCAUUUGUGGCCAAUUCAUAGUGGCAAUGACUUAAGGUCACUUUACGUGAACAACGAAUUGAUAGAUACUCCCUCCGUUUCAUAUUACUUGUGGUUUUACUUCAAAUUUGACAAGUGCAUCUCAAUUGAUAAAUACAAACAAACUAAUUUGUAUCUUGCGCUCGAACAUGAGAAUCGAAAUGGUCCUGCACUUCACGAAACUUGUUAACCGACGUGCAAAGUCAGCAAAACAUAGAUGGUUUUAGCUUUACAAUGAAGGGGUAUAUUUUCGGGCUUUCUGGAUCAUUUCCGUGAGACACCCUGCCAAAAAAUUGAUCAUGGACCCAGCCUUGCGUGCUCAUUUGGAUGAAGACCAAAUAAUUUGUGCGCCCACACCUCUACGGCAGCCCCAGUAUAAGUCUAAGCCAACUUUUUCGAUGUCAUGGGAGGCAAAAUCCCGCGCCAAAUAUUUGGUGAGCCCAAGAUUGGUAGGCAAGAGCUGUCACAAACCAAACAACCUCUUAAUCUCAACCUUUGAUCACUCAUGCAGCGGUUCCACGGAUGCCCAUCUCUAGCCGGGUUUUUCUUUGACCCACCUGAGAUUUCGGAUCUGUGAUGGGCCUUUUUGUACAUCGUGUAUAAACCACAAUGCAAAACAUUUUUCUACAAUGUGGUGUAUCCUAAAAUCCUUCCUCUCCAUUACUCAACCAUCUCGUGCAUCAUGUAUAAACCACAAUGCAAAACAUUUUCUACAAUGUGUUUUCAAAUAUUCAAUAUGACUAAUGUAAAUUACAGAAUUAUUUUAGAAAUAGCGUAUAGCUUCUAGUACUAGAUUAAAAUCUGGUUUAAGUUUCCCUCUUUUGUCUCGCUAUUAAUAUUCAAAUUGAGUAUGGUGCCUAUGUGAAGAAACUAUAUAUGGUGGUAAUUUCGUGCCGGUUGAUUCACGAGACAAUGUUGCUGUUGAAGCAAUCUGUCCAUUUGUGGCAACAUGAGUAUUCUCCUAGAGACACCUAUGCCUAAAGCGACACCCCGAGGCCUAUAAAGGUUCGACCAUUCGGUCGUUUGGAACUCAUUCCCGGAUACGCGGUUCCACUCACGGCACAGAGAGAGACAAUCACAUAAUUGCUUGGAGCGUAGGAGAGUGUUGACAUACUUACAUGGGAGGACUCAGGUCUACACACACAACAUAUAUACCGACGGUGGAUUCUUUAUCCAUUGGAUCAAGGAACACGUGAAGUGAAGAGGAAUAGAUGCGAGAAGACACUACAAAGGAUACUCUACAUCGUCGAUCUUGAAGAUUCCACAUGAAAUAUGUACAUGCCAAGGUAUGUAAUUCAGAUAGAGUUAAACGGCCGAAUUGAAUUUGUGGAAGUUUCUGCACUAUCAUUUUUUACAUUUACAUGUUAAAAAUCAUGAUACUAAUUAGAAGACACAAGUUCCUACAACUAUAUCCAUAUGUUCUAUUUACACACUCGACGGUAAUUUUAAUUUGGGUCCAAAUUUGCAACUAGUUGUACUCUGGGCCAACAUGUUAGUCUAACAUGAAGUGAUGAUUUCACUGACAAGUAUGUAACUGAACGGUCUUACCCAUAUUUCUGAAAAAUAGUGAAAAGUAUGUAAAUUUUACUUCAGUGCAAUUUUCCAUGUUCGCCACAUUGUUGGCCUUCUAAAACGACGUCCUAUCACAUCCCUCUAGAAGUCCAUUUGAUCUAAUCAGAGGGGGGCAAUAAUUUCUUGAUCAUCAAGUGUGGCCUAUCUUUCUGUUCUAUAUAACUCAGUGAAAAAAUAGCGAACUAUAGCGUCGCUAAUAGCACACUAUAGCGUUUCUCAUAAUUGUCUCGCUAAAUAAAUCAGUGUACAAUUCCUCGCUAAUAGCACGCUAUAGCGGGAUAUAGCACAUUAAUAGCAUAUUUUAAGGGCCACACUAUUUUGUCAUAGCACGUUACAUUUUUCCAUUGAUACAAAUGUAGUAUUUCUAGAAGAUUUGAUCUUCUAUGUCAUCAAUUCAUCCACUAUAAAUGUGCAUGCAUGAUAUAUGGUCAUCUUGUAAAAAUGUAUUUGUCGUUGUAAUUUUUUAGUCGGUGUAGAGCAUCAGCAUUAACUGAUGAAAUAUUGAGAUUAUAUUUUAAUGUUAACCACAUUUAAGAGUAAAUAUUUCCUAAAUAUACUCAUUAAAUGUGGCAAAUAUUAAAGUUUUUCUCAAUAUACUCAUAAAAUGUGGCAAAUAUUAAAAUGUUUCCUCAGUUAAUUCUGAUGUUAGAAAAACUUACAAGGACAACACAUUUUCAAAGCUGACUAUAUAUCAUGCAUGGUCACUUGCACAUAUAUAUUGCAUGAAUUAAUGCCUUAAAAGCGAAAUCUUAUCUUUUAUAAAUACUGCAUUUGUAUAGAAGUGAUAGAUAUUUUGUCUCAAUGCCCACAAAUUUAAUUGCAGAAAGACUGCACUUGUAAGUGAUUCGUAUUUUAAUUAUGAUAUCUUCACCAUGCACAAACCAUUGUGAUGUCUUCACAUACCCUGCUAAAAAUAUAUUAAUAAUAUCAAUACGUCUUGAUACACGCUGAACCCUAUAAAAUGCGCUAUAAAAGGGAAGCAAAGGACCUCAUAUGGAAUACAAAACCAAAACUAGAUCUGCAACACUUCUAAUCUUAAGACGCUAGCGUCUAGCUUUUUUUUUUCUAAAAUGGGGAGUACCAUUUCGAUGGCCCUCCUCUUGGUCUUUGCAGUCCUGUUGCUCAACGCCCAUCUCGGGUCGUGCGGCUGCUUCAAGCGCAUCUUUGCAUUCAGCGAUUCCAUCAUCGACACGGGCAACUUCCGCUCAGGUUCGAUCUGGGCCCCCCCUUAUGGAGGGACCUACUUCCACCAUCCCACAUGCCGCUGCUCCGACGGGCGUCUCAUUGUGGACUUCUACGAUAAGUGCACAUACGCACGCAGGUGUACUUCACUCAUGCUCGAUUUCUGAAUUUGGUUUGUGUGUCAGCGCAAGCGUUGGGCCUGCCACUGCUGCCGCCGAGCGGGCCUGAGGAGAAGACGGGGAAGUUCCCGACCGGUGCCAACUUCGCCGUGUUAGGCUCUAUUGCCCUGAGCCCGGACUACUACAGUAAAAGGUAUAACUUUAGUAUGUCCCACUGGUGCCUCGACUGGGAGCUCGGUUCUUUCAAGACAGUGCUCGCACGGAUAGCUCCUGGAAAAGGUAAGUACUCAUGCAACGAAAUAUAUCACACAUUUCUUCCUGCAUUAGUUAGCUAAUUCGUUUUUUUGUGUGUGAUCAGCUGCCACCAAACGUCUCCUCAGCGAGUCCCUCAUCGUCUUUGGAGAGAUCGGUGGCAACGACUAUAACUUAUGGUUCUACGAUCGCCAGCGCAGUCGUGACACGCCCUAUAAGUUCAUGCCCGACGUGAUCGCCCGCAUAGGCUCCGGGGUCCAGGAGGUGAUCAACCUUGGUGCCAAGACGAUCCUUGUUCCUGGAAACUUCCCCAUCGGGUGCGUCCCGGUUUACCUGAGUGGGCACAAGACAAACAAGUCCACUGACUAUGACCAAUUCGGCUGCCUCAAGUGGUAUAACAAGUUCUCUCAGAAGCACAACCAACUGUUGAGGCAGGAGGUUGGCCGGGUUAGGUCUCGCAACCCUGGCGUGAAGGUCAUCUACACCGACUACUAUGGCGCCGCCAUGGAGUUUGUCAGGAACCCCAAGAUGCAUGGCAUCGACGACCCCCUGGUGGCGUGUUGUGGUGGCAACGGCCCCUAAUACACCGGCCAUGGGUGCGAUCAGAACGCGAAGGUUUGCCGUGACCCGUCCAGGUUCGCCAACUGGGACCAGGUUCACAUGACCGAGAAGGCAUACAGUGUCAUCGCCAAUGGGGUGCUCAACGGCCCGUAUGCGGACAUUCCGUUGCUCCACGCUUGCCAGGAGAAUUUCCUUUCGAGACUUGAAGAAAUGUUGUUGCAACCAAGAUCUGUUACACGCUAGCUUCUUGGAAUUUUAAAUCUUGCAUCACCAUCUCAAUUGGUCAUGAAUGAAAUGGUUGGAUCUGUUGCUGGAAUUUGGUCUGUUUUGGGCCAGCUCAAUAGCCAUUCUCAGAAUUCCUAAUAAAUCGUACCUCAUUCCCAUACUGCUAGCUUAAUAGGAGUUGGGCCUCCUUAUAAGGGAGAUUGUUUCCCCACACAUGUAUGAGCAUGAGAAGAGGAGAGACAUAUGCGCACGCUCGUUCUCCGCCACCUGCCUCGCCUCGGCAUGACGCCCGCAUGCCGCGGAAACGAGUCGUUGUCUAAAUUUUAGUGAUGCGCUGAAAAGUUUUUGCUGUAGUGGAGAUUGAAUACGGACACUGCCCCUUCGGAUGCUGCAUGUUUGGUUCGCCUCCUGUCUCUUCGUUUUAUCUCCUGUCACUGCCAGUUCGCCUCCUCCUGUGCCUAUAAAAGAGAGGCCACUCCUCUCCAGAGAAACACACCAGACAACACUUGCAUCACACCACCGAGUUCCUGAGCAUUAAGCUACUGCUACAAUCUUCCCCAUCCCAGCUUUGCGGUGUGCACCACAAGUUGGCAUAGUAGGCAUCUGAAACCUCACCUCUUUGAGUCCUGUACGGGAGAAUGGUGAUGAGCAUUUGUGGGGAGCGCUCUGCAUGCCUACUGAACUCUUCAUAAUGGGUGGAAUGGACGCCAACGAUCACUUCCCCAACGACGACUUCUUCCCUGACACCGACAACCUCUUCGACGACAUGGGCGACAACGCCAACGCCAACGCCAAUGCAACCACCACUGCUUAGUGUGUGUUCAUAUCUUUUUUGUUUGAGAUCAUGCUGAGUUUCUUGUUCUAGCAUCUGUUCUAGAUAUGCUCUAUUGAAGUUCACAACUUCAGAUGCUAUUCGCCUACUCUCUUUUAGAUAGUAUGAUUUGUCUUGUCUCUGUUAUUGGGGUCAUGUUUUAUCUUCUGUUUCUGUUAAUUAAACCAUAUGAUAAAUUGCUCAUAUUUCCAACAUCUGUCACAUGAAUAUGUUUGUACUAGAGGGUAACGCGCACUUCGUUGCACCAUUUUCACUUGUUUGAUAAGUCCUUUUUUUGUUAGUGGGCUGCUCGUUUCAUCUUUGCCUGUCUUGGAUUGGGCUUUAGUUGCCCUGGAGUUGGAGGUAUUUUCGUUGGCUGUUACCAAUCUGUUCUGUUAGUGCAGGCAGUGAAUGUGUGAAGCAACACAGGCAAUGAAGUACACAGCCAGACAAAGAACAUGUACUUCUUAACUUAACUGUUGUAAUGUUAGUUAUCUUAGUAACAUAGAGACACAUAUGAAAAUAACAAAUGUAAAACAUGCAAAGGAAAAGGAGGACGAAGAGCAUGCUGCAGAAAGAGACAACAGAAACCAUCAGUGAAAUAUAUCAAACAUUGUGUCAUCACUGGUUGGAAAAAGUGCACUGGCUAACAACUUCAUUUUGUCUUUCUCGUUGAGAUAAUAAUACAACCGUUGCCUCCAUUCUCCCAAACAUAUUCAUGUAGCGACACAAUCACAGAAAACAUAACCACACAACAUACCUUGCAAAAGGAAGGUGUAGCUAAGGGAGCCCUAAUAACGAAGUGACAUUAGUAAAGUAGGGACAUUGUGAACAUGACCAUUCAAAACCAGACUCGAUAAGCAGCUAGAGAAGGGCUACUCUAGUUUUGCAAAUAGUGACAUCACACAAUAUGCUAGUACAUUGCUUAAAUUAACAUCGCUACACAAGUACUAGUAAGGCAGAUGCAGAGGCCGGGGGUCAUCCUCCUUUUCUAAAAAAAAAGGUACUCGUAAGGCAUACCUUAUGGAGCUAUCCUCUGAAAUUGAUUUAUGUCUUAUAAUGGAGAAUACACAAUACAAAAAAAACAAAGAUUUAGUUGCAGUACCGACGAAUAUCUAAAACUGAAAAAAGGAAAGCAAACUAUUCUGCUACUACCAUCUCUACAAACAGGGCAUGUUCUUAUCUAGUACUAGUAUGAUUUAGUGGACAAACCUCUACGUCUGCAAAAAAAAGAGAAGCAAACAUAAAAAUUAUAUAUUUUCUUACUAUAUAUUAUUAAAAUAGGAGACAACCAAGACACCAUAUUCUUACACACAUGCUAAAAUUCAAACCAUAGAUUGGAUAAAGGUCGAGAUUUAAAAAUUAACACAUCUAAAAUAUGUACGUAUAGUCAUAUACGCAAUGACAUGAUGACUAAUGUUAAAUCAUAUUGGCAAGACUCACGGAAAGUCCAUGUGCAUGUUUGAAAAAAAGGGCCGUAUAUUAGCAAGAUCCAUGGAAAGAGAGUCCAUGUGUGUUUCAAACCCGAACGAUGGGGGAGGUUUUGAACUAAUGACCUCUUGCGAGAGCACGGGGCUUUUCGCCAAUGGGGUGGAGAGGGGGUUCAUGAACAUUCGUAUUAAAACAAAUUUUUAUAUAAGCUUUUUUUGUUUUUAGUUCAUCCAAAAGUCCUACUUUUUUUACAUUCCCACAUGUCAGUUUUAUUAUAAGAGGUUGUCACUUUUUUUUAUUAUAGAAGGAUGCCAUUUUAUUAUACGAGGUUGCAUGUUUAUUAUAAGAGGAUGUCAAUUUUGUUAUUAGAGGAUGGCAAUUUUAUUAUAAGAGUAUGCCCUUUUUAUUUUCUAAUAGGAUGGCAUUUUUACUAAUGUGAGAAUGGCAUUUUUAUUAGGAUGGAAUUCUAUUAGAAUAUGAUACCAAUUUUAGCAUGUUUAUUAUUAAGGGAUGGUAAUUUUAUUUCAUAAGAGCAUGACUUUUUUUUUAAUUUUUGCAAUAGUAUGGGCAUUUUAAUUAUUGUGAGGAUGACACUUUUAUUAUUUUAAAAGGAUGACUUUUUUUAUAUUUAGAGGUGACAUUUGUUUUGCUGACACUGUUUUUACACAAGAUUUUUGGGUGGUGACUAGGAACAUUGCUACUUUUGUAGCAUUUUUUUAAUUUUUUGAGUUUUGUCCAUGGCAUUUUCUCAACAAAAAAACCCUAUUUAGUGGACCUUUGGGCCAACCGGGGGUAACAAUGGCUUGGGAGGCUCAUCCUGUCCCAAGAUACUGCGCGGGAGCUAUAUAUCGCCUUUCGCGAGAUGGAAGCUCCUCUCUCUGAAGCUAAUUGCUCUUCACGCUAGAUACUGGGUCGUCCCAUUAGCAAACCUUUUAAAAAAGGGAGAGGGCAAAGGGAGUGAGGACAAGAUUCAAGCCCCGCACUAAGUGGUUCCUUCGUAGAACUGCUAGCUAGUACGCCAUGGGCAAGUUUGUGUUAAAUAAAUAUGGCGCGACCUACUUGACCUAAAAUAGCCGGUUUUCUUCACCGAUUUACUUGUUUUUGUUUUGACACCGGGAACUUCAGUUUUUCUCAGUUUUCACUGCUUUUUUCUCUAUUCUUCUUUGUUUUUUUCUUUCUCCACACUUUUUCUAUACAUGUUUAACUUUUUUUUGAAUGCUUAAUUAGCAUUUUUGAAAUAAGAUUUAACAUUUUGUAAUACAUGUUCAACAUUUUUUGUGCACACAUUAAAAAAA